CCAGUGCCUGAUCCAUAUUGGUUUGAUCCAAGUGAUGUGGAGGAGGAUGAUAUGAAUGACAAACAAGAAGUCGUAGCUGAUGGCUGCCCAGUAAGAUAUGGGAUCUAAAUGCGUGCUCAAGUAGUCUUUGCUCUACUUCACUGGAGCUUGUUCGAGUUGGCAUGUCUUAAGUACUUGUAUUAGUUUGAGCUUGUAUGCUAUGUAAGAUAUAAAUGGUUUAUUGUCUUUUUUUGAUGUACCUACAUUUAAUGUGUGGUUUUUAAGCUUGAGCUAAUACUAAUCUCUCCAUCUGGACCUGUUUACAUGCAUCUUUAUUUUAUGUCUCGGAGUCAAUCCGAGUGUCGCUCAAUUUAGAAAUCAGGCACACAAUUGGAAUCCGUUGGCAUUUUCUACCUCUUCCUGUCUGCUCAAAUGAGGUCUGCUGUGACCGUGUGUAGGGACGUUUCCAACAAAUCAAAUUUUAUCCCGACUGUUAACUUGCGCUGGAGUAAACAAAUUCUGCUGUGCGCCUGCUGUUGCAGCCCAACACCUCUAUUCCGUGGGGUUUGGAAGGAAAGUUGUUUCGUUGAUCAUCGUUUCAGAUGUUAUCUCUUACCUGCUUUGUUGAGCUGCUUUGUAUGAGAUGUUGGAUGGGUUCAUGUGUACUCACUCCGUCCCAUAUUAUUCGUCGUCGUAGUUUCCGUCACUUUUGUUAAAAUACUACUCGUCCAAAAUCCUACAGGUCAAUUAUUUUUAUCAUUUCCCUAAAAUACCGUCGCACAGUCUUCACCCUUGCAUUCUUCCUCCAAAUUAUCAUUAACCUGUCGGACCUGUAGCCGCCCCAAACACCUGCUCCGUGCUGCCUCUCGCCCUCUCCCGGUUCACGAUGCAAUUGCUUAGCCAAUGUCCCCAACAUGGGUAAGCGGAAUCAACCUUAGGUUCUCUCGCAGGUGCGCGGUGGAAGCGGCUGCAAGGCAAGAUUCAAUUCUACUCUUUGUAUAUAUAGGGGAGUACUCGCUGCAUCCUGUAAUACAAGACAUUCAAGAGUUUAAAAUUUAUCCUCAAAUACAAGGCAUUAUAAGUACAUUUGGAUGAUUGCUUAUUUAAUUAUACCCAGAAUUGAAUUAAGGAUGGCUGAUUGGUGGAUUAUUACUAAAAAUAAAUUUCUUGUUAUAUGCAAUUUUGUCAUUAAAAGAGCCGGACAAUACAACUUCCCAUCUAUACUUUAGGGGUACAUGCAUCUUUUGCUACUCCUGCUAAUAUGUCCUAAAAUCUUUAUGAUACCUUGUAUUUUAGGACAGAGGAAGUAAAUCUUACGGAGAUUACUUAUUGAUUUGUCUUGACCUAAAAAAUAAAGAAAACAACUUGAGCAAGAUUUAGUUGAUGAUAAAAAAAUGUAUCUUUUUUUAUGCUAAAUCGCGGAUAUACUUGAGCAAAUAUAGGAUCGCGCAAGAUUUAUUUGAGCAAGAGAUAAGCAGACCACUAUUAUUCCUAGGCAUGCACUACUACAAAAAUGAUUUCAAACAACAUUUGCAGGGGCGUACACGCUACCUGCUCCUGUUUUUCACAGCUACAAAUAGCUGUUUGUAGGAGCCAGUAACGGGUCUACUCCUGGAAACAAAUUGUUUUCCAGGAGCGGGUGAUGGCGUCACCUGUCCUUGAAAAUAUCGUUCCUACCAAAAUUUUGUACCAUUUUCAUGCCAAAUUUUUAAAAUGUGGUUCUCCCAUGUAUCAACCUAUUUAAAUAUAAGUCUCAUAAGUAUCAACCCAUUCAGAUCCAACCCUUAGAGAAUAUUGUAUGUGCAAUGAAAUAUAUAUAUAACUAGUCUCACAAGUUCAUACUUCAAUACUUAAGGUCUUAGAGAGAACUAAGUUCAAAUCCAAAUGAAAAGGGUAAGGGUACAUCCAUGCACUACAUAUUUCAUACUCCGUUUUGCUUCCUGAGAUAUGCAAGAUAGUUUAAGUCUCCAAUCCUAAAGCCUAGAACUUCAUCGAUGUAAACUAGACCAUAAAUUAGUGCACUCUCUAUCGCUUCACAUGGACGGUCACAUGCACUACCAUAGAUUUCGAACAAUGGAGAGCUAAACUCAUAAAGCCAGUAGAAAGUGAGAUGAGCUUGGAGCUUGAAAUCUCUAGUGCGUAUAGAGUUUCAAUCGGUGUAACUAUAAUUCAACACAUCCAAGACUUGAGCUAGAAUCGCAUGAAAGUCAUUGCCUCAAUAGUUUGACCAAAGAUAUCCUAAAAGAUGAGAAUAACAUGAUGAAAGUUAAAAAAUGUAACAUAAAUAAAGAUUAAAGAAUGGUUAGAUAUUGUUGGGGGGAAAUAUUAACGACCUCUUUGUACUCCUUAAACAAUGGUCAUAAGGGUCUGGGCCCACCUGCGGUGACGGAGACCUCUGCUGACUUGGUACGGACAGGAAAUAUUCCACUCCGCCUCGCCCGACCCAUGGUCCUAGGGUCGGACGCGCACGACUCCUCGCUGCAAGGCUCCGCCUCGCUCGACCCCGGGCGCAAGGGGUUGGACGCACCCGACCCCUCACCGCAAGGCUCCGCCUCACCCGACCCCAGGCACUAGGGGUCGGGCGCAUCCGGGCCCACAAGAUAGGGAUUCGCCUCGCCCGAGGGUAGGUGCAUACCAGCAGACGAGAGCGCGGAUCUCGUCGGCUCCCACCAAUCUCACCAUAAAUGCGACCUGUGGGGCGCCUACACGGAAUGCGGCUCUGACGUGCAGAAAGGCGCACGUGCUCCUCGACGUGACCCACCACAGUCUUUGGGCGGUACACUAUAGCCACGACCGCACGGGGCUACAGCAGCACCGUCCUAACUCUCCCCUAUGGUGUUCGUCGUAGGGCACUCAUUGCCCACGCCGCCCAGCAAGGGAGGGAGCGCCGCCUGAUUUCCCGCACGGCCCGGCGGCAGGAGCAUGUUCGCCGCACCUCCCAGUCAGCACGUGAGGCUACAGAGGUCGACCACCCUCCACGACGUGCACAACUGCGGUGGCCAGACAUCAUCAUCAUCACGUAUGGCUACAGCGGACGGUCGCCACGCAUAUCUCGCAUGCCUGGAUACAACAGCCGACCGAAGACAGACAACCAUCCCCCUCCGGUGGUGAUGCUGACAGGGGACAGACACCAGAGGGGAAGGCGACGACCCCGGGGGCCUGGUCUUUCCCCCUGCGCUGUUACUUCCCUACGCACCUUCUUCACUCCCCUUCGGCUCCUGGCUCAAUUGUAACUCCUGCACCCUCCUUGCGCUAUAAAAGGAGGACCAGGAGGCCCGAGAUAGGGAGGACUCUCCAGCCACCGAACACCCCCAAACUCACACUCUCUCCUCACGAGCAUCAGUGCACACCCACAGAGACUUGGGACCAGCUUCCCUCUCUUCCUUGUUUGUAACCCCUACUGCAAACCCUGCGUGAGUAACACGAGCAGCUUCCCACACUGGACGUAGGGCUAUUCCUGCCUGAACUAGUAUAAACCCCGUGUCCUCUCGCGCAACCAUCCGAGCCUUACGCCCAUAGAAAACAAAUUCACUUGCCGUAGUCUUGACUCGUAAUUCUUGACAACGACAGUUAGCGCGCCAGGUAGGGGACCUUUGCACGUACGACGAUCAUCACUGGCUUUGGAUGGCCAACCACGACAUCGGCUUCGCUCCCGGCUCCCACAUCCGCUUCGGGAGCCUAGACUUCCUCGCUACGGGAGAGGGAAUCGAGCUGAUUCCUCUCCUCGUCCUGGUUGCUCACCCCGUCAUCUUCGGCUCCGCCACCGGAAUGGUGGUGGGUGGGUGGGUACGCACCACGGGGCCUCCUUUGAAGGAGUGGCUCUUUGGCCCGCGCAACGCCGUGGUGACUUACGAUUGUCUCCUGGGAUGAUCCAUGAUUGUGCCACCCGCGAACAACGAGUUCGUGGGCGUGAUGGGGACAGCCUCCAACGCUGGUUCCGACAAUGGGAGCCACCACCCCUCUUAUGAGUGCUUCAUGGCUGACGCACACUUCGAGGGGUCCAAUGACAACGGCGCCAAAGGGAGGCAGCGCACUCCCCCACUGGGCGCUGCAGCUACAACCGGGGCCCUCGCUAGGGUCCUGGAGCGGCCACGUCUGCCGAAGGCACGAGCGGCACCCAAUCAGGAGGUCGAGCGCCCCCGCAAUGAAGGUGGGACGUGUCAACGGGCGCGCGACGUCCAGUAAUGCAUCUGCGAGGACGAGGAUCAUCCUCAACUCGUCGCACGUGCCAUCCAGAACAUCGCCGUCACAGUGGCUCUACUCUGAUGACUCCUUGAGCCAGCAACGCCCGAGGAGAGACAGGCUCACCAAGAGGUGCGCAACCUGCUUGAAUGCACCGCAGUCCAGCAGGCGGAGAGCUUCGCAUCCCGGCAACGCGGGCACAACCCCAGCAGGGCAGCGCCCACCGCGCCUCCUGAAAGGCGUGGGGAGUCCGUUCACCAGCCUCCGCCCGGGGGGAACCGGGCCGCGCCCGCUCGACGAACCCCACCACCUGCAGGUGGUGGGGCACCAUCCGUCCACUGGCGCGUUGGUCCCGUCCGCGACGCCCGCGACACCCUGGAUGCGCGUAGGCGCUCCCGCGCGGACAAGGAGGAUGGAGCGGACCGCGGCUACCACGUCCACCGUGGUGGCCGCUAUGAUAGCAAAGAAGAUCGGAGCUCGAGCCCCAACCCAGCGGGGCCUAGGGCCUUCUCCGCGUGCAUCCUGAACGCGCUGUUCCCAGUGCGCUUCAGGUAGCCCACCAACAUGGCCAAAUAUUCUGGGGAGACAAACCCCAGGCUUUGGCUCAGCGACUACCGGCUUGCUUGUUAGGCCGGUGGGGCGGAUGACGACCUGUUCAUCAUUCGCAACCUCCCGCUAUUCUUGGCCGACUCAGCCCAAGCCUGGCUGGAGCACAUUCCGUCAGGUCGGAUCUGUAACUAGAACGACCUGAAGGAAAUCUUUGUGGGAAACUUCCAGGGCACGUACAUGCACCUCGGAAACUCCUGGGACCUCCGAAGCUGCCACCAGGGGUCGGAUGAAUCCCUUCGGGACUACAUCCGGCGCUUCUCCAGGAAGCGCACUGAGCUCUCCAACAUUGCCGACGCCGACGUCAUCGGAGCCUUCCUGGCAGGAACUUCCUGCAGGCCCCUAGUCCACGAGCUGGGACGCAGGGACCCACGGACCACUGAGGAGCUCCUCAACAUCGCCACUAGCUUUGCCUCGGGAGAAGAGGCCGUCGGGGCAAUCUUUGAUCGCUCCAAAGGCAAGGUGAAGCGGGAAGAGGACGCCAACGAGGGCACCUCCAACCACCAGCAGAAGAAGAAAAACAAGCAACGGCGCGAUGGCACCCCCGGCUUCUUCGACAAGUUACUGCUUAAGGGACCAUGCCCGAACCACGAGUUCCCUGCCAAGCACGCCUACAAGGAUUGCAACCUCAUGAAAAGGUACUUUGUGAGUAACCCGGUGAGGGGUGACCGGAGAUGGAAGCCCGAAGAGGAAGAGAAGAAGGACGUUGGAGAGAAGGAAGAUGGCUUCCCCAACGUGGACGGCUGCUUCAUGAUCUUCGGUGGGCCGGCGGCCUACGACUCCAAGCGCCACCGAAAGUUGGAAUGCCGCCAGGUCUACGCGGCCGACCCCGCUACCCCGACUUUCCUUGACUGGUCAAGGUCCGCCAUAACCUUUGACCAGUCCGACCACCCGGAGCGUGUCCUGCAGCUAGGAUGCUACCCUCUCGUCGUCGACCCCAUCGUCGACACAAAGCGCCUCACCAAGGUGCUCAUGGAUGGAGGCAGCGGCCUCAACAUCCUCUACGCCGAGAUCCUCGACGCCAUGAGGAUCGACCGAUCCCAUCUCCGUCCCAGUGAGGCACCAUUCCACGGCAUCGUGUUGGGAAAACGAGCAAUGCCCCUCGGGCAGAUCGACCUACCCGUCACUUUCGGGACUCCUUCCAACUUCAGGAUGGAGACCCUCACUUUCGAGGUGGUGGGUUUCCGUGGGACCUACCACAUCAUCUUGGGGCGGCCAUGCUACGCUAAGUUCAUGACCAUCCCCAACUACACCUACCUCAAGCUCAAGCUGCUCGGGCCCAACGGGGUCAUCACUGUCGGCACGUCUUUCUAGAAGGCGUACGAGUGUGAUGUCGAAUGCUGCGAGUAUGCUGCGGCCAUCACCUGUUCGGAGGACCACGCGGUCUAGCUUGCGGAGAGCUCUGAGGAUCCGCCCGACUCCAAGCAGUCCACCACCUCCUUUGAAGCCACGGAAGGCGUAAAGGAGGUCCCUCUCGACCUCAGCUACUCCAACGGCAGGACCGUGCGGAUAGGCGCUACCUUAUCCCCCAAAUAGGAAAGCGCGCUCAUCAACUUCCUCUGCGCAAACAACGAUGUUUUUGCGUGGAAGCCCUCGAACAUGCUAGGCAUCCCUAGGGAAGUUGCUGAGCACUGCUUGAACAUUAAGGCCGGCUCCAAACCGGUGAGACAGGGCUUACGCCGCUUCGACGAGGAGAGGCGCAAGGCCAUCGGUGUGGAGCUCCAGAAGCUUUUUGCGGACAGGUUCAUCAAGGAAGUGCACUACCCCGAGUGGUUAGCCAAUCCUGUUCUUGUACGAAAAAAGAAUGGGAAAUGGAGAAUGUGUGUUGACUAUACGGGUCUCAACAAAGCAUGCCCAAAGGAUCCGUUUUCUUUGCCGUGCAUAGAUCAGAUAGUCGACUCCAACACAGGGUGCGAAACCCUUAGCUUCCUUGACGCGUAUUCCGGUUACCACCAAAUCGCGAUGAAAGAGUUCGACCAACUCGUGACCUCUUUCAUCACCCCUUUCGGGCCCUACUGCUACGUCACGAUGUCGUUCGGCCUCAAAAAUGUGGGGGCUACGUUCCAGCGAUGUAUGCUCAAGUGUUUUGGGGACCUCAUCGGGCGAACCAUUAAGGCCUACGUAGAUGACAUCAUGGUCAAGUCCAAGAAGGGCGACCAGCUCAUCCCCGACCUUGAACUGGCCUUCAAAAGACUGAGAGACAAGCGCAUCAGACUCAACCCCGAAAAGUGCAUUUUCGGGGUCCCGAGGGGCAUGCUGCUCGGCUUCAUCGUCUUCGUGCACAGCAUCAAAGCCAAUCCAGAGAAGAUAUCGGCCAUCAACGAUAUUGGACCGAUCCAAAACCUGAAGGGAGUACAGCACAUCAUGGGAUGCCUUGCGGCCCUGAGCCAUUUCAUCUCACGCCUUGGUGAACGAGGACUCCCUCUCUACCGACUCCUAAAAAAGACUGACCGCUUUGUGUGGACCGCUGAGGCCCAGGAGGCGCUUGACCAGCUCAAGAACAUCCUGAUGAAGGCCCCGAUCCUGGUCCCACCGACUGAUGGGGAGCCACUCUUGCUCUACAUCGCGGCAACCAACCAGGUGGUUAGCGCAGCUCUAGUGGUGGAGCGAGAGGAGGAGGGACACACCCUCAAGGUGCAACGCCCGGUGUACUUCGUUAGUGAGGUCUUGUCCGAAUCCAAGGCCCGCUAACCUCAAAUCCAAAAGCUCAUAUACGCAGUCCUCAUCACGAAGAGGAAGCUGUGCCACUACUUCACCUCCCACCCGGUGACGGUCGUGUCAUCAUUCCCCCUCGGCGAAGUGAUUCGGAAUCAGGACGCCACAGGGCGGAUCGCGAAGUGGGCGCUCGAGCUUAUGGACCAGGGCAUCACCUACGUCCCCUGGACAACCAUCAAGUCCUAGGUACUCGCUGACUUUGUCGCAGAGUGGACGGAGAUCCAAACGCCAUCGGCGCCAGAGAAGCAGGAGUACUAGACGAUGUACUUCGAUGGGUCGCUGAUGAAAGCUCGCGUCGGAGCGGGUUUGGUCUUUGUGUCUCCCCUCGGCGUGCGCAUGAGGUACAUGAUCCGCCUCCAUUUUCCCGCAUCUAACAAUGUCGCUGAGUACGAGGCUCUCCUCAAUGGGUUUCGCAUCACCACCGAGCUGGGCAUCCGGCGGCUGGAUAUCCGGGGCGACUCUCAGCUAGUCGUCGAGCAAGUCAUGAAGGAGUAGAACUGCCAUGAUCCCAAGAUGGUGGCGUACUGCAACGAAUUCUGCAAGCUCGAGGACAAGUUCGAUGGUCUGGAACUCAACCACAUCGCAAGACGCUUCAACGAGGCAGCUGACGAGUUGGCAAAGGCAGUGUUCGGUCGAAAGCCAGUCCCCGACGGUAUCUUUAUCAGUGACCAGUACAAGCCCUCGAUCCGCUACAAGGAGCCGGGAGAGGCUGGCAAUGCGCCACCUAUCCUGGACUCGGGAGCCGACCCGAGAGAGGUUGGCAACAUGCCACCUAUCCUAGACUUGGGGGCCGAUCCCUCUGACCCCGAGGUCAUGGAAAUCGACACGAACCUAGCAGAGGGGCCUGACCCCCCGCCUGACUGGAGAACCCCGUACCUCGAUUACCUCAUCCACGAGUCACUCCUGACGGAUAAGACAGAGGUGCGAAGGAUUGCCCACCGUGCCAAAUCCUUCAUCAUCAUCGACCAGGAGCUUUACAAGCGGAGCCACACCGGCAUCCUGCAAUGCUGCAUUCCAAUCGAGCAAGGAAAAAUGUUGAUACAAGACAUCCACGCUGGAGCCUGCGGCCACCACGCCGCACUGAGAACCCUCAUCAGGAACGCCUUUCGAUAGGGCUUCUAUUGGCCGAUGGCGGUAGCCGACGCCACCCACGUGGUGCGCACCUGCGAAGGAUGCCAGUUCUUCGUGCGACAAACCCAUUUGCCCACCCAGGUACUCCAGACCAUCCCCAUCAUGUGGCCCUUCGUGGUCUGGGGUCUGUGUUGGGAUACGAGGUAGGCUACACUAGCGCAAAACAAAAUUUUCUACCGUGUAAACUAGGAAAACUGCCGUAUAAGGAUCAUGGGAUUACCACUCGACGCACAACUAGUGCGGAAGAUGUAGAUUCGUGUCGAUGCAGCGAAGUCGAUCAACGUAGUUGUACGUAGUCGAUCACGUUGACAUCCAGCAGCUCCUCAGCAGUUCGUCCACGUGCAGCAAGAUCUCCCUCGUGCCGCGGCUCGUCGUCGGCUUGUCGUGGCUCGUCGGCGGAUCGUCGUGGCUCGUCGGUGGCUCGUCAGCGGCUCGUCCAAGUGCUGCAGGCGCAACACCUCGAAGGUAUCCACACGUGCAGGGAGGAAGCAUCGCAAGCCGAACUGCUAGAUCCAUGAGUUGCAACAGGCUAGGGCGUGGGAGGCGCGGCAGAUGAGUUUCGCCAAAAAGGUGUAAACCCUAGGGCGCCCCCACCCCUCUAUUUAUAGAGGUUCCUAACAGGCCUCUAGGUCUAAGGCCCAUUAGUACUUCUAAACCUAAUCCAACUCAGAUCACAUCCGAAUUGGGCUUCUAGCCCCUUAAGUGUGUGACCCUAUGGGUUCGGAUACAUAUAGACAUGGCCCGAGUACUCCUACUCGGCCCAAUAGUCGGUAGCGACCUCUAGCAAGACGUGCCAACUCCUAUAUGCACACGAAGAUCACAACAUUAUAUACAUGCUAUUCCCUUUGCCUCAUGAUAUUUGGUCUAUCUUCAAGCCGAUCGCUCUUUCUCGAUCCUGUGAUUCGGAAUCCCUUUGUAGGUUAACUCUUAACCGAACGUAGCAUGGCCAUGCAUUUUUGGAUCCGAUCACUCGAGGGGCCCAGAGAUAUCACUCUCAAUCAGAGAGGGGCAAAUCCCAUCUUGAUUGACCAUGUCUCACAACAUGCUUCUUGACAAACCCGAAAGCUACCUUUAUAACUACCCUGUUAUGGCGUAGCGUUUGAUAGCCCCUAAGUAGGUCGAUCCACAUCUUGAAUACAUGCGACAAUCUCAGGUCUAAGGACAAAGCGUAUAUGUUGUUUAAAGAGAGAACUACUUCUCGUAUUGGGUCAAUCCUAGCACAUGUCUCCACAUGUGCCCACAUUAUUAGUUCAACAUCUCCAUGUCCAUGACUUGUGAAACAUAGUCAUCAACUAAUACAUGUGCUAGUCUAAUAUUCAUGUGUGUCCUCACAUGAACUCCGAAUAGGGACAACUUUAGAAUAACCAUACAAGUAAAGAGUUUCACACACAAUUCACAUAAUUGCAAAUCAAUUCAGCCUUUAAUGGAUAUUCAAGGAACACAAUAUAAAUUAUGGAUACAAAUGGAAUAUCAUCAUCUCUAUGAUUGCCUCUAGGGCAUACCUCCAACAGUCUGGACCUCGUCGGGCCCUUCAAGAAGGCGCCCGGGGGCUUCACCCACCUACUCGCCGCCAUCGACAAGUUUUCGAAGUGGAUCGAGGCUCAACCGGUCGCGCAGAUCAAGUCCGAGCAGGCAGUGCAAUUCUUCACUGACAUCAUCCAUCAUUUCGGAGUCCCCAACUCCAUUAUCACGGACAACGGUACGCAGUUCACCGGGAAGAAAUUACUCAAGUUCUGCGAUGAUCACCACAUCCGAGUGGAUUGGUUGGCUGUAGCGCAUCCCCGCAUGAACAGAUAGGUUGAGCGAGCCAACGACAUGAUACUCCAGGGUCUCAAGCCACGGAUCUUCAACCGACUCAACAAGUUCAGCGGCCGAUGGGUUGCGGAGCUCCCCGUGGUCCUAUGGAGCGUGAGGACGACCCCUAGCAGGGCAACCGGCUUCACCCCGUUCUUCAUGGUCUAUGGGUCUGAGGCAAUCCUCCCCACCGACCUGGAGUAUGGGUCGCCGAGGGUCAGGGCGUACGAUGAACAAGGGAAUCAAGCAUCACUCGAGGAUGCGCAAGACCAGCUCGACGAAGUGCAUGACGUGGCCCUACUGCACUCAGCUAAGUACCAGCAAGCUUUGCGACGGUAUCACAGCCGUAAGGUGCGGGGUCGAGCCUUCAACAUCGGCGACCUGGUGCUUCACCUCAUCCAAGACAACAGAGGCUGGCACAAGCUGACCCCUCCGUGGAAAGUUCCGUUCAUCGUCGUGCAAGUACUACGGCCGGGCAUGUACAAGCUAGCGACCCCCGACGGGCAGGUCUUCACCAACGCUUGGAAGAUUGAGCAGCUAAGACGUUUCUACCGUUAGCUAUUGUUUUCAAGUUUGUACAUACAUAAUUCUCUCAUCUUUUAGUUUGUGAAAAAGGGGUGGUUUUGAGUUGCCUUCACUAGAGUUUCGUCCCAAGCUUAAAAAUAUCCGACCCUGGUUCUGCCCCAGGGUCGCAUGUCCCUCGGGGGCCUAUCAAGGGCUCUGGCCCAAGACACUUGGCAUCUUCUCAAAACACCAUUUUUCCAAACCGACCCUCUUCCUAAACGUUUGGGUGUGAAAAGAAAAGAGUGCAUGAACGACGGUCGGGCAAGACCGAUCGGACCACGAGAAAUCUACGCCCCAGCGGCUGUGGUGCCUUUGCUCAUCGGCGCUUCCUGACGCGUCCAACUCGCGCUCUGAUCUUUCCAAACCCAAAAAAUAGAAAGAGGAUCGAAAGCUUUUCCAAAAAAAUUGCAUGAACCAAAAAGGCCUCUGUAGCCAUCGCAAAAGCAAGUUCGAAGUUACUUAACAUAUUUACAUAUUUUUGGGCAUCUGGGCUCGAUACAGGUAACUCGUCCCCGGGUCCUCUGGCGGGAUGGCCUCAUCCUCCAGGAGCUUCAGCAAGGCCUCCGCUGGAUUGAGCACCGACACGUUGAUUUCAUCCAGCUCGGCCUAGCCAGAGGCGUACCCGCUCAUUGCGGCGAAGUUGAUGCCGGAGUAGUGAGAGCUGAAGACGCCGAAGGCCCACCUCACGCCGACGUGGAGUGCCUCCCAAGAGAUCUCACGAGCCUGCCGGUACAUCCCGAGGACAUGGGCCACCAGCGUGCUCGUCCCAUCCUCUUGGACCACACCGAGGUCCUCGCAGACGAUGCGAACAGUGUCCCGCAGGUUGGCGAGCUCGACGUGCUCCGCAUUGUUGGCGUCCCGCAGCCGGGCGAGGUCAGCCUCAAGGCCUAUCUAGAAAAUCCUGCCAAGUCAGAAACCACCACAACACCACAAAACAAAGGAACAACGAAAGCCUUACCCUCAGAUUGAGCUCUCAACAGAUGUUCCCAGUCGAGCCCUUGGGACACGGCGGUCUGAAGCCCCUGCAUCUGCAUCUGGAGCCGACCGACCUCUGCCCCAAGGUCAGCCGCCAUCCUCUUAGCAUCAACCUUUCGGCCCGCCUCGAGAUCGUGCUCUUGCCGAGCCGUAUGUCGCUCGUGCCGGAUGCGCUCAAUGGUUUUUUGAAGGGCCUCAUGCUCCUUCCUCAACCGCGCAAGCUCCUCGGCAUCAUGGUGUGCCUUUUCAGCAACAGCCUGGAACUCCUCGGCAUGAAGGCGGGCCUUCUCGAUGAUGGCCCAGAACUUGUCCUUCGCCCGUCACGCGCUUUCCUGCGCCUCCUGUUCCCACACUCGCAGGUCGGCGGCGUUCUGCUGGGCGGCGGCAAGCUUCCCGGUCAGCUCCCCGGUCUGUCGCACCUCCCUGGUGAAGCACUCCCAGACCCCCCGCUCGCGUCGGAGGAACUCGGACUUCCCCCGGCUGCAUUCCUGGAGGGCUUGCAGAACAAUUUACGCUCAGGAACCGUCGGGAGAAAAAAAAGGGAUGGAGAAACGAAAGAAAAAUAACCACCAAAGAGAACACCGUACCUGACCGCCGGAAACAAUAACGCCAUCCAGCUUCCCCAUCGCAGAAGACAGGGCGGCGCGGACAUCUUCAAGUCUGCCCUGCACCUCCUGCCAUCUUUUCCGCUCCCCGACAUUGUCCAGCACGAAGUGGGGCCUCUGCGUGUCCUCAUGGGACAUCCAGCACACGGUCGGCCCUCCCCACGCGUUGGGGUCGCGACCAAGCGGGACGAGGGCACGGGAGGACUCUCCGGCCAGCCCCGAUGCCGCUGUCCCCAUCAUCGCUGCCGGGGCAGGCGCCACCAUCUCUGCCACCACCGCCGUCUCCGUCGUCGCUGCCGGAGCAGGCGCCACCAUCUCCGCCACCGUCGCCAUCUCCGUCGCUGCCGCUGGGGCAGGUGCCACCGUCUCCGCCACCACCAUCGUCUCUGUCAUCACCACCAGAGUAGGCACCACCAUCUCCGCCACCGCCACCACCCCCGUGACCGGCGCUCUAGACACUGACACCUCCCCCACCGGCUCCUCCUCUGCCUUGUCGUCAAGGUUUAUCACCUCGCCGGACAGAGGAACCCCAGGGGCAGCAUCUUGUCCCGCAGGGUCGGCUGCGGAGGCCAAAGGCAGAACAGGGGUCGGCCCCUGCUCCGUGCCCGACUGCGGCACCGUUUCUCCAGUCGCUGCCGUAGAGGCCGCCUCCGUAGAGGGCACCGUGGCCUCUCCAACGACACCACCACUUGCUCCCGGUGGGGUCACAGUUGUCCCCGCGGAGGCGGUCAACACCCAGAGCGCCUUCUUCGGCGCCAGCGGCGGGACGAAGUCGACCCCGGGACAUCCGAUAGCGGCCGCUUGCCGCUACCCCUCUGCUCGUGUGACGUAGGCAGAGGGUCGGGGGUCGGCUCCGUCGAUCCCCAAGGCACGCCCCUCGCCGACUCCUGGGGCGAGGCCCCAGUUUCCCGUAGGGUCGGGCCCCGGGCAGGCGGUCCACUCGACCUAUCCCCAGUGGCUGGUUGAGGGGGCUGGUCCUGGAUGACGAGCGCACCCGGCGUGAAGACCAGAAUGUAACCCUCCUCCUCCUCCUCAGUCUCGUCCUCAUCGUCCUCCUCAUCAUCGUCAUCGUCGUCAUCCGACACGACCGCGCCCCUCCGCCACCUUUGGAACUCUUUCGCGGCCCUCUUCCUCUUCCUCGCCGUCUCUUUGUCCUUCCUCCUCUUCUACUUCUCGGCGAGGAGGCGGUUCUGCCACCGCCGCGCUGCGUCCUCAGGCACCGGCGGACGUGAGGUCACGACCCGGUUCAGCUCACCCUGCAGAUUCAAAGACUCCACGUCAGAAUGGUGAGCUAGGAAACGCAGGAAAAAGAACGAGAGUAUGAAAUUCUCACCAGCGGGACAAAGUCCUUGUCCAGGUGCAUCGGAGGGUAACCGAGCACCGGGUAGAUGACGUCCCUGUCAUCCAGCACCUCCCGGACGCGCUGCUCGAUCUCGGCGUCGGCAAGCACACCCGUCGCAAGGACGGUGCCCUCGGUCGCCGUGCCGGGAACCAUAUCGUCGAGCACGUGGGCCUGGAGCAUCAGCGGUGCCACCAUCCGAGCGUGGUACGCCCCGAUAACUCCGGCCCCAGUUAGGCCCUCCUCCUUCAGGCGGUCGAUGGCCAGAAGAAGACCGGCGAUGUGCUUCUUCUCCUUCUCGACCGGACCGUACGACCAGUGGUCCGGCGCUGCCGCAAUGACACGACCGGUGAACUCCAUCAAGAGGGACUCGGGGUAGUUCUUCACAUAGAACCACUAAUGGUCCCACCCCUUGUCGGAUGCCGCGGUCUUCAUCGCCAUGUAUUCCUUGGCGCGGUUCUGGCAGAGGUGGAUGCCGGCGCACCCCAUCAGCAUCGGAACUGCCCGCACCUGGAUCCCCUUCUUCUCGGUCUUCUGAUACAGGAUGACCAUGAAGAAGUAUUUCUAGAGCGAGAAGUUGGGCUUGAUUCCCAGGUACCCCUCGCACAGCGCGAUGAACGCCGUGAUGUGCUGGAUCCCAUUGGGGUUGAGGUGCUACAGCUCGAGCCCGUAGUAGUGCAGCAGCCCGCGGAAGAAGAGGCUUGGCGGAGUCACAAAUCCCCUCCUAUGGAAGUGCGCGAAUGAGAUGACAAAGCCGUCGUCCGGUUGCGGCACAUCUUCCCUCCCGGGGUACCGUCACUCAUUCUUGGUGGCCCUCUCGCAAAGGAGGCCCUUCUUCACGAGGUCAUUGGUACGUGCAGUGCUGAAGCUUGAGCGCAUCCAGGACUCCAUCGCAAAGGGAGUGGAAGGCUUAACUGCGGGGGCGGAGAAAGUUGCUGCGCUGGAGCGAAGGGAGGCAAAACGUGCGCAACAAGGCAAGAAAGGCUUGAUUACGAGCGCGGGGCAAAACCGGCGAGGCGAACUCCCUCAUCUUAUGGGGGAGGGGGGCACGAGAAGCGAAAGGGGCAGUCCAAUCGCAGUUAUUACAACGCCAGGUACCCCAUCACCCCCGCCUUUUUUGGAAACCGUGCGCACGAUCCUUCCCUGCUGCAGGGAACGCCUCCCUCUCCCUCAUUUCGUGGGCCAGAAAUUUUCCGCCACUUCGCCUCGCGGGGGGUGCACGCGCGUGACUUCCUCCACGUACGGCCCGGGGCCCACCAACAGUUAAAAAAGGGAUACGGAGCUGAAAAUGCUCCUAUAGCCCAUUAUGGUCCAGGGGUUCGAAGGCUGGCCCACCGCAGGUUCGACAGUCACCCCAGGACGCCCCCGAGCAAGGGGUGAGAUGGCACGGGGCCGCUAGCAGCCACCACCUAGGCAAGCGAAAGCCAAGGGCGUCCUGACCUCACGUUCGAGUCCGGACUGGCGUCUAAGUUCAUGGUUUUUCCCCGAAGAAAGGCAACGAGCCCCCGGAUCCAAUCGAGCGGACCCGGGAACUAUAUGAACUUGCCAUCCGGAAUCUAGAGUACGCCACCAACUUGGACCGAGCCGCCCCCCCCCCCCCAACGGGGAUCGGGACUCCCCUCGAACUGAACCGUUCGCAGCUCAACAAACACCACGGUUCGUCCAAUGAGGAUAACGUGGCUCGGCUCACCCCCUCCAUCCCAGCGAACGGACGCUUGAGGGGUAACAAUCAAAAGUCGAUCUAACCUCUCGAUCGGUGUCCCGCAACGCGCGGGGGCUGGCAUCGCAAUCAAUGACCACGCGUGUGGCCACAAUUUAGGGUCUUGGAGCAGGAGUGAUCGUCGGAACGAUAGGGAAUCUUCCCGAGCCGAGCCAUCCUCGGAAGACCCUGCCUACCUAAACUCCCCGGCCAAGCUGAACGAGCAAAACUUUUUCUCUCUGAUCAAAUGUAGGUUGCAGGACAAACAAGGAUCCUCGACGAACGACGAAUGCAGCCUCUGGAGGAGCAUAUUGACUCCACUAAAGGCUCGGGGGCUACUGUUGGAGGGAAAUAUUAACGACCUCUUUGUACUCCUUAAACAAUGGUCAUAAGGGCCUAGGCCUACUUGUGGCGACGGAGACCUCCGCCGACUUGGCACGGACAAGAAAUAUUCCAGUCCACCUCGCCCGACCCAUGGUCCUAGGGUCGGACACGCCCGACCCCUCGCUGCAAGGCUCCGUCUUUCCCGACCCUGGGCGAAAGGGGUUGGACGCGCCCGACCCCUCAUCGCAAGGCUCCGCCUCGCCCGACCCCAAGCACUAGGGGUCGAGCGCAUCCAGGCCCACAAGAUAGGGAUUCGCCUCGCCUGAGGGCGGGCGCAGACCAGCAGACGAGAGCGCAGAUCUCGUGGGCCUCCACCGAUCUUGCCAUAAAUGCGACCUGUGGGGCGCCUACUCGGAAUGCGGCUCUGACGCGCAGAAAGGCACCCGCGCUCCAAGACGUGACCUGCCACAGUCUUCGGGUGGUACACUAUAGCCAUGACCGCACGGGGCUACAGUGGCACCGUCCUAACUCUCCCCCGUGGCGGUCAUCGUAGGGCACUCAUUGCCCAUGCCGCCCAGCAAGGGAGGGAGCGCCGUCCGGUUUCCCGCACGGCCCGGUGGCAGGAGCAUGUUGGCCGCCGUUCCGGUCAGCACGCGAGGCUACAGAGGUCGACCGCCGUCCACGACGUGCACAACUGCGGUGGCCAGAUAGCAUCAUCAUCACGCAUGGCUACGGCGGACGGUCGCCACGCAUAUCUCGUAUGCCCGGUACAACGGCCGACCGAAGACAGACAACCAUCCCCCUCCGGUGGUCAUGUUGACAGGGGACAGACACCAGAGGGGAAGGUGACGACCUCGGGGGCCCGGUCUUUACCCCUGCGCUGUUACUUCCCUACGCACCUUCUUCACUCCCCUUCGGCUCCUGGCUCAAUUGUAACUCCUGUACCCUCCUUGCGCUAUAAACGGAGGACCAGGAGGCCCGAGAUAGGGAGGACUCUCCAGCCACCGAACACCCCCCAACUCACACUCUCUCCUCACGAGCAUCAGUGCACACCCACAGAGACUUGGGACCAUCUUAUCUCUCUCACCUGUUUGUAACCCCUACUGCAAACCCUGCAUGAGUAACACGAGCAGCUUCCCACACUAGACGUAGGGCUAUUCUUGCCCGAACCAGUAUAAACCCCGUGUCCUCUCGCGCAACCAUCCGAGCCUUAUGCGCAUAGAAAACAAAUUCACUUGCCGUAGUCUUGACUCGUAAUUCUUGACAACAACAGACAUGUUCCAUACCAUGUCAUGUUGAUUCACCUAACAAAGCCUCUCAGUGGUCAUAGUAACAUUGCUUUCUCCCUCCUCAAUCGGCUUUAUUCGAAAAUAUGAGAAGUUUGGCACAAAGUACCCAUGAUCCUAAAGCUUUUGUAGGCAGGCCUCCAUGACGGACUUUUCAAAAGUCAACCUAGUUUGUGCUUCUUUACCCCAUGUGGCAAUUGAUACCCUCGAGAUGGCCUAUCUUGGUUGUCGCAUCAAGUUGGCCAGUCCUCCUCGAACAGGUACUUCAGAAGAGAUCUUAACUCUUUGAAAAUUUCUUGGACCAACAACCUUGGAUUGCACUAAAGGAGUGGUACCAUCUACAGUUUCGACAUCAUCUUUGAGCCAUCUAAUAGGUUUGAUAAGCUACAUUGUAUGUAAAUAAAUUUAAAAAUUAUUCAUGUGUAGUAAAAAAAUAAUUACAAGAAGGAAAGAAUAUUACUAUGUUGGGUUUUGCUGCUUUGCUUCGAACACCAGUAGGAAAGUCAAUGACGCCAUUAGGGAAGUAAAUUCUUGGAGGAUGAGUCAUUGGUGACCCCUCUAAAAUAUAGUGUCCGUAGCCACCUGUUGACGCCAGAUUUCGUCACCAGUAGAAUCGGCGCCAAGAAAAGAGGAAAUUGGAAAAGUACAGUUGGGAAUCGGCCGAAUGGCGCUACAGUUCAAGAUCGGUUGGUUGGCGCCACAGUCCAAGAUCGUCCAAUGCUACAGUACGGGAUCGGCCGAUGAUUUCUGCCUCGCUUGACCCUUAGGGUUCGGAUCGAGCACGCCGGGUUCCCGAUCGGUUACCUUUUGCCGAUAAGGAAUCGGCCGAUUAGGAGGAUGGGAUAAUUGGGCCUGUAUGGGCUUGGAAAGGAAUAGAAGGAUGGGGAGGAGAUCAGCCCAUGAAGCGUAUAAUAACCAACCUAGCACGAAUCGUACUUGUAAAUAUUUGUUUUCUAUUUGGAUUAGGGAUAGAGUUCUAGUCAGUUAAGGAGUCAUCUGUACGGGGCUAUAAAUAGCUACCUUUGUAAAUCUGUAAUCAUCAACAAAUCAAUACAACCAACUACUUUUUUCCUCGUACUUACUUUCAAGCAGGCGACUUCGCCAAAUACUUUCUCCUUUUUCACGAGUUCGUAUGGGUUGGCAGGGCUGCAUCAACUUGAUCUCCGGUCGAUCUUGUAAGUUCCGUUUACCGAGUAAAUUCUAAGCUUUAACUUCGGGCGCAUCGUUGUUGUUUCGUUUACAUUUAUUCACCAAGUUAUCGAUAUUUACUAGAAUCAUAGGUUUUACCUGUCUUUCUAGUUUUAUCACCAGUUAUCCAGCUAGGAAUCGGUGGUUUCGGCUUUCUUUACAUUCUGCUAUUAAAUUCGCUUAUUUUACAUAGAGCCGAUUAGAUCUGUUCCUAGUGUUGUUGCUAUAUCAUUGCAUCGAUUACUCUAGUAGUUUUCUAUCUACAAGGCUACAGUGAUCGGCUGCUUUAUAGCUGAUUUCUUUAUUACGGCAAAUCGGCCGAUUCGCUGAUAAGCUCUCUCGAGAUCGGAAACUUAGCCGAUCGUGAUUUCUGGACCUGACACGUAUUCUUCCUUGCCAAUCAACAGGUCAGAUUGGCUGGCACGCCGCGUGAACCGCACCAGGGCAAUCACCCGAACAGGAGUUAAGCAGAUUCUCCCGGGUCGUGUGUCAGACGCUGGGGAUCCGGUUGACCAAUUUCUAGUGCCAACACCACCUCCACGACUGCAACCACAAUGGCCACCAACAUCACGGCCGCCACCACCACGGUGAAAAGAUCAUCCAUUAGCCUAAACUAUCCAUAUAAAAUUGUAAUAAGAUAGAUUAUUCCACAAACAUCAACUUUAAUAAUUAUUAUGCCAUAAAACAUCAUAAUUCACCAAAUGCUAAGAAUAAAAGUGUUGACGCCGGAUUUCAUCACUAGUAGAAUCGGUGCUAAGAAGAGGGGGAAUCGGAGAAGCACAGUUGGGAAUCGGCCAAAAUGGUGCUACAGUGUGAGAUCGGCCGGUGACUUUUGUCUUGCUUUGGGUCGAAUGCACCAGGGUCCCAAUCGGUAAUGUUUUGCCGAUAAGGAAUCGGCCGAUUAGGAGGAUGGGCUAAUUGGGCCUGUAUGGGCUUGGAAAGGGAUAGAAGGAUAAGGUGGAAAGCAGCCCACGAAGCGUGGAGUAACCAACCUAGCACGAAUUGUGCUUGUAGAUAUUCGUUUUCUGUUUGAAUUAGGGAUAGAAUUCUAGUCGGUUAAGAUGUUAUCUGUACGGGGCUAUAAAUAUCUAUCUUUGUAAAUCUGUGAUCAUCAACCAAUCAAUACAACAAGCUACUUUUUUCCUCAUACUUACUUUCAAGCGACUUCGCUACUACUUUUCUCUUUUCUACGAGUUCGUGCGGGUUUGCGGGGCUGCAUCAUCUUGAUCUCCGGCCGAUUCUGUAAGUUCCGUUUAUCGAGUAAUAUCUAAGCUUUAACUUUGGGCGUAUCGCUAUUGUUUCGUUUAGAUUUAUUCACUAGUUAUCGAUAUUCGCUAGAUUCAUAGGUUUUUACCUGUUUUUCUAGUCUUUAUCACCAGUUAUCCAGCUAGGAAUCGGUACUAUCGGCUUUCUUUAUUUCCUAUCGUUAGAUUCAUCUAUUGCCGAUUAGAUCUGUUCCUAGUGUUGUUAUCAUAAGCUUUGUACCGAAUACUCUAGCAAUUUCCUGUCUACAAGGCUACAGAGAUCAGGCUGUCUUAUAGCCGAUUUCAUUACCACGGUAAAUCGGCCGAGUCGCUGAUAAACUCUCUCGAUCGGAAACUUAGCCGAUCGUAAUUUCUGGACCUGACACGUGUUCUUCCUUGCCAAUCAACAGGUCAGAUUGGCUGGCACGCCGCGCGAACCGCACCAGGGCAUUCACCUGAACAGGAGCUAAGCAGAUUCUCCCGGGUCGUGUGUCGGUCGCUUGGAUUCGGUUGACCGAUUUCUAGCGCCAACACACUUUUGGCACGCUCAGUGGGACAAAUACAACCGCUAUCAUGUCGAAAGCUGCUGAAGUCUCCGAAGAUAGCGUCAUCGAGGUGACGGAAGCAGAUCUGAAGGACGACCAGAAGGAAGAACUGGACAAGUGUACGGCACACUUCCGGAAAGCUUGCCUGAAGUCUUUCAGUCGCUCCAGAAGCGGGGAGACCAUCAAGAAGACUCCGUUCCCUGCUCCCCGCCAGAUCACAAUUUCUGAAGAUUCGGAUAAAAUGUCCGAUAUGAUUCAACAGUCUAUUCAUCACGCUUUCAUCAAAACCAAUCGGCCAGUCAGGGGAGUCCCCAAUUCCAGGCAUCUUUCCAAGCGGCCACUCGACCAGCCAUGCUGCCGUAUCAGCCUAUCGCACCAGAGAUGAACAAAACAGCAGAGCUCGUACUAUAUGAUGAAACGAGUGGCUCGUUCAAACAGCCGACCUUUAACACACAGCCGGCUUUCACUCAAAUGCCACCUGCUUUCACUCAGCAUCAAGCUAUUCCACCUCCGAUAUACCAACACGUGCCAAUACCUCAGCCAACGGUUCAUCAGCAACAGCCGGAUUGGUCGGCACGUAUUGCAGAAGUGAUUCAGGAACAAUUCGGCUUGAAGCCGAAGGUACAAACUUACACCUAUAGGACGCCAUACCCGUCCACAUACGACCUACUGCCGUUUCCUCAUCGGUAUAAAGUUCCUGACUUCACCAAGUUCUCGGGGAUGGAUGAUACUUCAACCGUGGAGCACAUGAAUAGAUUCAUCAUCCAAUGCGGAGAGGCAGCUACGCAAGAUGCUCUACGGGUGCGGCUGUUUUCGUCAUCUCUGUCUGGAUCGGCCUUCCAGUGGUUCACGACAUUACCGCCAAACUCGAUUAUCACGUGGGCCGAUUUGGAAAGACAGUUUCACAAAUACUUCUACGCCGGGGUGCAUGAGAUGAAGCUGUCCGAUUUGACCAGCCUCAGGCAGAGAAGCGACGAGCCGAUAUCCUCAUAUGUACAGAGGUUUCGGGAAAUCAGGAACAAAUGCUACUCUUUGGCUCUAAACGACGCGCAGCUGGCUGAUAUAGCCUUUCAAGGUCUCCUUCCCCACAUCAAAGAAAAAUACGCCUCACAGGAGUUCGAGAGUUUAAGCCAAAUCGUCCACCGAUUGUCGGGAUAGGAGGUACGUUCUUUCGAUCCACGGAGGAACUUCCAGAAGAAGGUGGCGUUCCUGGAAGAGGUUGAAGCCGAAGAAGAUGCUGAGAUCAGUCUGGCAGAAUGGGUCAAAGGAAAGAAGCCGAUAUCAUGCCCAUUCGGCAAGAAAGAACCUGAAACGUUCGGUUUUGACACGUCAAAGGCCAAUAAAAUCUUCGACCUUCUCCUCCAGGAAGGACAAAUCAAGCUCUCGCCAUAUCAUACAAUACCUUCUGCCGAGCAACUAAAAAAGAUGAAAUAUUGCAAGUGGCACAACGCUACAUCACAUGACACUAAUGAGUGCAAAAUCUUCAGGCAGCAGAUACAGUCGGCCAUUGAGCAGGGCAGACUUAAGUUUGAAGUACCAGUGAAAUCGGCCAAGCCGAUGAAGAUUGAUCAACACCCCUUCCCCACCAACAUGGUUGAUACAGGGAAGAAUUCGCUCCAAACGAAGGUGCUGACGUCCGAAUCGGCUAAAAAGAGUGGUGCCGUAGACCCCAGAAAUCAAGCUACACCUGAAGAUGUCAAGGGAAAGCGGCGGAUGGAGGAUGACAAUGGCGAAUCGAAAGAGCCACGCAUUACUUCCCAGUUCCUGCUCCAGAAAUACCAGCGUCAGCAUGAACGCUCAAGAUCCCGGGAAGAAGCGAUGCGACGGCACGAAGAUCACUGGAGGUGCCCGUUCUUCAUCCACUGUUGGGAAAGCAACCUCAGGCUACCUUCGGCCGAUAAGUGCCCAGAAUGCAACGGCCCGUAUCGUGGCAAUCGGCCGUUCAACAGGUCUCGCUCCAGAGAUGGAAGAACAGAACCGAUCAGCAGGAAUUGGCGCGACCAAGAUGACCAGCGCCCUCCCGUGCGUGAUCGACUGGGGGGCAGAAGUGACCGAUAUGAUCGGUCGGAAGAUAGACGCCAUGACAGGCAGGGGGGCAAGACUGAUCGACAUGACCGGUCAGAAAACAGGGCCAACGUUCACAGUCGGCUCGAAGAGAUGGCCGAUGCUCGGGUGACAGACGAAAACCCGUUAGGAUGUGAGCCGGAAUGGGAGCACGCCAGGCCAAGGUGCAAACCAGUAAACCCCAGGUGGUGUCCCGAUGGAUUGACCAAAUCUCAAAAAAGAAGGAUCCAAUGUCUCCGCCAGUGGGAACAGCAGGAGGAGGAACAACAGAGCACGACAGACAAGAAGAAAGGUAGGCCUCGGGUAUGGCGCCCCAAAAGAAACGACAGAGGGGGCGACGAAUCGGCGGGUGAUGAAUCGGCAGCCGAUAUCAGCAUGGUUUUCAUACUACCGAUGGAGUUUAUGACUCCGGCCGACCGACAGGAUUUGCCGGUGUUAGAAGAACAGAUGGCACAGUUGGCUUUGGAGCUAAUGAUUGCCACGUUCGAGAAGCCCGAGGACGACAAACGGCAACACCUGAAAGCAUUGAUCCUAAAAGGGCAUGUCAACGGCCGCCCCCUUACUAGACUAAUGGUAGACGGAGGAGCUGCAGUCAACAUCAUACCAUACGCCGUGCUCCGGAAGCUUGGAAAAAGCGAUGACGACUUGACCAAGACGGACAUGAUGCUCAAGGACUUCGAGGGGAACGUGUCUCCCGCUCGCGGUGCCCUUUGCGUCGACCUCACCAUCGGCAGUAAGACCCUUCCCACCACUUUCUUUAUUAUUAAUGGCAAGGGAUCCUACAACAUGCUACUCGGCCGGGACUGGAUACACACAAAUUGCUGCAUCCCGUCAACAAUGCAUCAAUGUCUUGUACAAUGGGUCGGCGACAACAUCGAGGUAGUCAACGCCGAUUCCGCAUACAGCAUCGCGGCAGCAGACAUGCAGCAGUGGAGCUGCGAAACCGUCAGGUGCAUAUCCGGCAGAGUAUGGGAGACCGACUUCCUGAAGGUAACCGAUUUUGGCCUACAGCCGAUCCGAGCAGUUGGCUCCGAAGACUCAGAAUAAAUGGACCAGUUCGCCCGAGAAGAUGGGAAGCUAGGGCACGGGUUCACGUCGGCAGAUUCACUAGAAAUGAUAGACUUAGGCGAUGGUACCAAACCAAGGCCGACUUAUAUUAGUGCAAAUUUAGACCCGGAAUACAAAUGUAAAUUGACAAAUUUGUUAAGAGAAUUUAAGGAUUGUUUUGCUUGGGAGUAUCAUGAGAUGCCCGGUUUAGAUCGAUCUAUUGUUGAACAUCGGCUACCCAUAAAACAAGGGUAUCGGCCGUACCAACAGUCUGCACGGCACUGCAAUCCUAAGAUUCUACCAGACAUAAAAGCUGAAAUAACUCGGCUAAUCGAAGCAAAAUUUAUUCGGCAAUGCCGUUAUGCCGAGUGGAUCUCCAACAUUGUACCAGUGUACAAGAAGAACGGAAAGCUACGCAUUUGCGUUGAUUUCAGAAAUCUUAAUCAGGCCACACCGAUGGAUGGGUACCCCAUGCCAACGGCCGAUGUGCUGAUCGACGCUGCCGCGGGACACAAGAUUAUCAGCUUCAUGGAUGGAAACACUGGAUACAAUCAAAUACUUAUGGCCGAAGAAGACAUACCCAAAACGGCCUUCAGAUGCCCAGGCCACCUUGGUUUGUUCGAGUGGGUGGUGAUGACCUUUGGCUUGAAGAACACCGGCGCCACGUAUCAGAGAGCCAUGAACUACAUAUUUCACAAACUUAUCGGCAUUCUGGUAGAAAUCUACAUCGACGACGUCGUGGUCAAGUCCAAAGGACAUGAAGAGCAUCUGGCCAAUUUGCGAAGAGUGCUGGAGUGCACCAAGAAAUAUGGGCUGAAGAUGAACCCCAAUAAAUGUGCCUUCGGCGUGUCUGCCGGACAGUUCUUAGGAUUCAGGGUGCACGAGCGGGGAAUAGAAAUCAAUCAAAAGACCAUAGCGGCUAUCAACAAAGUCGUGGCCCCGUAGAAUAAAACUGAAUUGCAGUCUUUAAUCGGCAAGGUGAAUUUCAUCAGAAGAUUCAUAUCCAAUCUAUCCGGGCGGAUUCAGGCGUUCACGCCACUGUUGAAGUUGAAGCCUGAUCAGGAGUUCAUGUGGGGGGAAGAGCAACGCAAAGCUUUGGAAGAUAUCAAGCAGUACUUGGUUUCACCACCGGUAUUGGUUCCUCCUCAGACUGGUAAGCCAUUUAAAUUAUACUUAUCAGCCGAUGAAAAGGCUAUUGGGUCGGCUCUAGUCCAGGAGUUCGAAGGCAAGGAACGAGUAAUUUAUUAUGUCAGUAGAAGACUUCUGGACGCUGAAACAAGAUAUCCUCCGGUGGACCGGUUUUGCCUAUUUCUUUACUUCUCAUGCACCAAACUCAGGCACUAUUUACUGUCGGCAGAAUGCGUGGUCGUAUGCAAAGACGACGUAGUAAAAUACAUGCUAUCACUGCUGAUCUUGAAAGGUCGAAUCGGCAAAUGGAUCUUAGCUUUGUCAGAGUUUGACCUGCGGUAUGAAUCGGCAAAAGCCGUCAAGGGUCAGGUCAUGGCCGAUUUCGUCACCUAACACUACGGGCCAGAAGUUACCCUCGUAGAGCCGGCGCCUUGGACUUUAUACUUUGAUGGGUCUUCAUGUGGGGUCGGAGCAGGAAUCGGCAUCGUUCUCAUAUCGCCUCGGGGGGCAAGCUAUGAUUUUUCUCUGCCGAUAGAAGCCACCACCACUAACAAUCAAGCGGAGUACCGAGCUGUAUUGAAAGGCCUACAACUACUAAGAGAAGUCAGGGCCGAUUCUGUCGAAGUCUUCGGGGAUUCCAUGCUUAUUGUGGAUCAAUUGACCGGAAGGUCCGAAUGCAAGGACGACAUAUUAAGAAUUUAUUAUGAAGAUUGCCUACAACUCUUAAAAGAAUUUAAAUCGGCAGUAAUCGAGCACAUCCCAAGGGACCACAACGAGGAUGCCAACAAGCUCGCCCGGCACGCAUCUGGAUAUCGGCCAAUUCUAGGCGCUAUGGCUCUGGAACUCGCGGUCGAUGAUUGGCGGAAAGAAAUUGCCGACUAUUUGAAAGAUCCGUCUAAGAAGGUGGAACGACGAGUACGUUUUCAUGCUACUAAGUACGUACUGCUUGAAGACGACUUGUUCUACCGAACGAUUGACGGCGUCCUACUCAAAUGCCUGGGAACAGAAGAAGCCAAGACUCUAAUGGGAGAAAUCCAUGAAGGAGUAUGUGGAGCACACCAAUCGGCCCAUAAGAUGAAAUGGAUGAUCAGGAAUAACGGGUAUUACUGGCCGACGAUUCUCGAAGAUUGCUUUAAAUAUUAUAAAGGAUGCCAGGAUUGUCAGAAGUUCGGGAAUGUCCAACGUGCACCCGCAUCGGCCAUGAAUCCCAUUAUCAAGCCAUGGCCGUUCAGGGGAUGGGGAAUAGACCUUAUCGGCCAGAUUUACCCCCCAUCAAGCAAAGGGCACAAAUUUAUUCUGGUGGCUACCGACUAUUUUACCAAAUGGGUGGAAGCAAUUCCGUUAAGGGCCGUAACAUCGGCCAUCAUGGCCGACUUCGUAAGGGAUCAUAUCAUCUACCGAUUCGGCAUUCCCCAGACUAUAACGACCAAUCAAGGAACAAUGUUCACAUCGGGGGAAUUUGAAGAAUUUACAACCGACAUGGGGAUCAAAUUGUUGAAUUCUUCUCCGUAUUACGCCCAAGCCAAUGGUCAGGCCGAAUCCUCCAACAAAGGGAUAAUUAAGUUAAUCAAAAGGAAAAUUGAAGAGCAGCCAAAGAAAUGGCAUCUAUGUUUGACUGAGGCCUUAUGGGCGUACAGGAUGGCUUGUCAUGGGGCCACCAAGUUAUCCCCUUAUCAAUUGGUGUACGGUCACGAUGCAGUACUGCCGUGGGAGUCAAGGGCGGGAUCGAGGCGCAUUUCGCUCCAGGACUAGUUAACGGCUGACGACUUCUCGUCACUUAUGAAAAGGGAACUUGAUGACUUAACUGGCCAGCGAUUGAGAGCUUUAAUAAGCAUUGAGGAAAACAAAACGAAAGUAGCCAGGUGGUACGAUAAGAAGGUCAGAGUUAAACAAUUUUCCCCUAGGGACUUGGUUUGGAAGCUAGUAUUGCCGAUUGGGUCGAAAGAUCCUAAAUUCGGAAAGUGGUCAACAUCAUGGGAAGGGCCGUAUAAAAUUGGCAGAUGUGCUCCGGGGAACGCUUAUAUUUUGGAGACAAUCGAGGGAGAAGAGUUUACUAGGACUUUGAACGGAAGGUACUUAAAAAGAUACUACCCUAGUAUAUGGGUCGGAGCAUAAGGGAUUGACCGUAAUACAAUCGCACGCAACCGAUACAAAACGGUUCAAGCAUGUAAUCGUCCAAAUCGGUCGAUGUAUUCAUUCGGUACGGACGGUGGAUUACACGGCCGACAAGAUACAAGUCGCCCUUAGAACAAAAAUAUACAAUAACUAAUUAUUCUUUUUCUUGCGCUCUCUCUCAGUCCGACCUAGCUCUAUCAUGAGACGGAUGUACUCUUCUUCUAUUUCCUUCAUUGAAGCCUCCGCUUCGACUUGACGGGGGAGAGGGUGGCUCCGGUCCACAACCGGGCGUGACGUUCCUGCCGCUGUGUCUUCAAGGGCGACUCGCGGAGGAAGCGGAUGACUUCUGUCGGCUGGAGGUCGCCGACGGCCGUUGCUCUCCAGAAAGUCCAAGACCCGACGGGCGUCGGCGGAGACAUGGUCCCGAAGUUCGUCACGAUAAACCUCGAUUAAAUCUUUAUCUUCUGACGACAAAGGUUCAUCAGAGUGUAUAACCUCAAUGGCGCGCUCAAGUCCAGGGCUAAGACGCCGAGGCUGGGAAAAGAAAGAAUUAAAAAGUGAUCUCCUUUAGAAAAGUUGAAUGGAGAAGAAGGAUGAGGUUUUUCACCUGGUUAACAGAGGAAGAAGAAGACGAUGAAGACAUGACAGAAGGUCGCGCCGAUAAGAACUAGUUGAGAAAAUAAGACCGAAGCCAAACUGGUGCUCUCGGAAGGGGGAGUUUAGGCCGGUAUUUAUAAGAGAAAGAGGCGUGGGAAUUUGGUAAGGGUGCGUCCCAUCGGAAGUAAGAAGGGUAAUAAAUAGAAAAGGCGUCUCGAAGGACGGUCAAAGCAGUUAUUAAAUGUUCGUACAAAAUAGUCAGUGCUUUACAGAUUACCCAGAAGGGUAUCGAUAGCCGCAAUCGCCCGACGCCGGAUCUGAUCGGCAGAGUCCAGGACCCGUUGGUCUUCAUCCGCCGAUCCGGGGACUUCUGACGCACUACGGUGGAGCUUCAGGGCUUCAUGGGCCAAGUGCUGCCUCUCCUGUUUCAAAUCGGCAAUGACGGAAGGGAGUUCUUGGAGCCUUUUCUCUUCAGCGCUGAUUGCCUUGGUCACCUGCUCCAUUUCCUUGGCAAGCUCUGCCCUUCGGCGUUUGAGGCGAUCUAUCUCACCGACGAUCCCUGGGCGGGAGUCCUCCAGAAAAUGGAUACGCUGGUGCACCUCUUCAGCUUGACGUUUGAAUGCAUCCUCCUCUUCACGAGUCUUGGCCAGCUUGGCGCGAUCGGCCAUGUGACAAAGGGCUCUGAAGACCGGGAUCCUCAUGGACUCGAUGAAUGCAGCCGGCGCCAAGGCUUCCUCCGCUUCUUCUGGCACUCGUCCGCUGACGUCACCGAAAAGCUGCCGAAUCGGUGAAGCAUCUUCUACUAAUCGGCCGAUGUCUCCUUGAAGAAGGGAUCGGAUACUAGUAAGCUUGGCUCGGACGUCGUCAGGGAUGGAACUCAAGGCGACUUGGCGGGAAGCGACUUCUUCGUCGUCAGAAAGGGCGACCGCGAAAGAGAAGAGGCUAUUGUCAGGAGUGUCCUGUUCCUGGAAAUAAUAACGAAGAAAAAAUGAAUCGGCUGAUGGUGAUAGCGAUUCGGCCAAAUAAAGCUUGAAAGAUGUCUUACCACUUUGAAGCGAAUCUCUUCAAGUUGCGUUCGGGAAGCCGUUGUUCCCUGCUCAGGGGCCUGUACCAUAGGUUCAUCAGAAGAGGAAGACUCCACGAUGAUCGGCGCGGUGCUUGUACCAGCUCCCCGAGAAGGGACCAGUGGGUGAGGAGCGUUUGGCGUACCGAUGACCUGUGUCAGAAGGUUGAGAAAGUAUAUUAUGCAAAUACUAGGUGAAUCGGUGAAAUAGUGUUGUACCUCAACGGAUGGAAGCGGGGGUGCGUCGAUGGCCGAUUGAGUUGCUGCCGAUUGUUGUGUGUCCAUGGGAGUACUCUGUGCAGUCUAAGAAAAGAAGGAUUAAUAUCAAAACGACAAUCGGGAGGAUUAAAACAUAAGUUUACCUGAACGACCUCUAAAAACAAUGACGCGGCGGCUGCCCCGGCUUGUGCGACGACUUGAGUGUCAAUGUCUCUGGUGGCCUGAGGGGGUGGUGCGGCCGGAGUCUCUGCCGAUACGAGCAUGGGAGGAUCCGCCGAUUCUAUACGGGCUUGGACUCGGCGGCUGGUCUUCUUGGUGAUUCUCUUCUGAGUUUGUUUUGAUCGGCCAGCAAUCACGUCUACGGACGGAGCAUCAUAGCCGAUGAGAGGGUAGGAGGUGUAUGGAUGAUGACCCUCUAUUAGCCGACCACUCCGGCUGUGUGUUGGAGGAGUACGAUUCUCAGCCUGAAGAAAUAGUAAAACAUUAGUGUUCAGUCACGUUGAAAAAGGAGUAAAAAUCGGCUAAGGAAAAUACCUCGGCAUUCGGGUCGAUGUUGGCUGGAUCUAGGAGGUUGCAGUAUGCCGAUGCCGAAUUGCAGAAGAGGAAUUGUUUCCAUUCGGCCCACCAAAGUUUGAAUGGCUGGACAGCGAAGGGGGCUACUAUCCAGUUGUUCAGAUCAAUAGUGUUGGAGUCCAGGAUCCGGUCUCGUACCCGACUGUAGUCCAGACCUGUUGUAAGACCAUCUCUGAACUUGACUCGGCCAGCAAAAUAUACUUGAAUCGGCAGCUGACCCAUGCUGAGUUGGCGUGCUGCAACAGAGCGAUUGUAAAACUCGUACGUGGGGGCAUCCUUCCCCGAGAAGAAGUUGGCUGGCAGGAUUCCUAGCUUGAUUAACUCAUCGGUGAGUUCUUCAUCGAAUCGGCCAGUGGUCGAAUCAAAGCAGGUUGGGAAUUCAAAGAUUGGGUCGUCCCGAUGAUAAGGAAACCAAAUGGUUGCAUCUUCAUUAAAGCCGUUGUAAAAGCAUCGGAAGUACUCGGCCACUUUUGUAGCAGAAUACGUGCAACCUGGAAAGGCCGAUGCCGCUUCGCCAUAAGAGGUGCAUCGCCGACGGGCGGUAGGAUCUUCUGCCGAUUCAAUGUUAGGAAACAUCAUAUGGUCCACCCUCUGCUGAGUGAUCUUGCUCAUAUAAAGGUUCAGCCAUAAAUUGAUGAACCACCAGGGUCCGCCUGGGUUUCCGAUCGGCUCCCCCUUGGAUAGUUUGAUGCCGAUUUGGUGGAGCAUGUGGUACGCCGCCCCUAGCAAGUGUUUCCCAAGGGGAACAGGGGUUCCUGCCGAUAGUGCUUCGGCUAAGGCCUGGGUGUUGGUUGAUGGGCCGGCGGCUCUUCCGCAAAAGAAAUGUUUUUGCAACCACACCAUUAAAAAGGCCGUAUGCUCCCUAUUCUCAACAGACCCGGCUCUUUUGUUGCAUCUGAUGAAUCCUUUCCACCCGCCGAUCCCUCUUGUGUCCAGCCGAUGUGACGUUGCGGCUAAGAGGCGGAAAGGUGUGUCCGGGGAGGAAAUGUCAAGGCCGGUCAAUAGAACCACAUCGGCCUGUGUGGGAGUCAUAGGUCCAUGCCCAAACAAGAAAGCAUUGAGGGCAUCAGACCAAAAGUAAGAGGCCUCUAUCACCAACGGUUCAUUUCGCUCCAUCUGGGACAAAGACAGGUUGAUACACUGGCCGAUUUUGAGCUCAUCCCAUGAGACCCUCUUCGGCUCAGCUAUCCGUUGGUACCACUCCCUCCAACCUGGGGUUUCAUUCGGCCAAGACCUAAAGGUGCCCAACCAGUGAUCCAGGUCCAUGGUGGAUUGUUUGAAGGGGAUUCUGUGGGUUUCUAGAUUGAUGAGCUCUAUUGGAUCUGGGUUCCCCAUGGGUCCAAGGCAAAUAAGGCCAGGAUUUCCGGUAAGAUGGAUGGUGAUGCGGUGUCUGAUUGCCUAAAAAGGAAAGAGGGGGUGCAAAAGUAAGAAACAGAUCUAAAAGUAAAUGCAUUGCCGAUAGAGGAAAGAUUCGGUAAUAACCUCUGGGAUGAAGUUCCUAGUAGUCAGCGUGGCCGCCGGUGCAGCUGCGGAGGAUGAGGCCGCGAUCGCCAUUGGGAUCUCCGAUGAAGUUCCUUCUUCUGACGACGGAGCAAUUGCUGUCGCCACUACCGCCGGAGGUGCCAUUUCCGGAGCAUCGCGCGCUGGAGAACUGCCUGAAGGGGCCGCCAUUGGAGGGGAAGAGAAGAAGCAACAGGAGGAUGGCGCUGGGAAGCUUCGGCGACAAGGGAAAAGUGCUGAGGGAAGAAGAGGGUGCGCGUGCUGAGGAAGAAAGAUGUAAGCUUGAAGGUGAAGUGCAGGGUGAACCGCUAUUUAAAGGGUGCCUGGAGAGGGGUAAAAAUGGAAUUUUUACCGCGCCGGCGUUUCGAGUUUUUCGGGAGUAGUGGUUGUCAUGGGCGCCCGUUUCGAAAAGAUUGCAAUCAUCAGCUGGAAGACCGCGAAACGGGAGGAUAUUUUCAUUGUGGCUGUUUCGGAGGAGAAGUUGAAAAGAAUUUCGAAGUAAAAGACCAUGUUUUACUCCGAAACUGGGGGGCAUGUGUUGACGCCAGAUUUCAUCACCAGUAUAAUCGGCGCCAAGAAAAGAGGAAAUUGGAAAAGUACAGUUGGGAAUCGGCCAAAUGGCGCUACAGUUCAAGAUCGGUUGGUUGGCGCCACAGUCCAAGAUCGGCCAAUGCUACAGUACGGGAUCGGCCGAUGAUUUCUGCCUCGCUUGACCCUUAGGGUUCGGAUCGAGCACGCCGGGUUCCCGAUCGGUUACCUUUUGCCGAUAAGGAAUCGGCCAAUUAGGAGGAUGGGAUAAUUGGGCCUGUAUGGGCUUGGAAAGGAAUAGAAGGAUGGGGAGGAGAUCAGCCCAUGAAGCGUAUAAUAACCAACCUAGCACGAAUCGUACUUGUAAAUAUUUGUUUUCUAUUUGGAUUAGGGAUAGAGUUCUAGUCAGUUAAGGAGUCAUCUGUACGGGGCUAUAAAUAGCUACCUUUGUAAAUCUGUAAUCAUCAACAAAUCAAUACAACCAACUACUUUUUUCCUCGUACUUACUUUUAAGCAGGCGACUUCGCCAAAUACUUUCUCCUUUUUCACGAGUUCGUACGGGUUGGCAGGGCUGCAUCAACUUGAUCUCCGGUCGAUCUUGUAAGUUCCGUUUACCGAGUAAAUUCUAAGCUUUAACUUCGGGCGCAUCGUUGUUGUUUCGUUUAGAUUUAUUCACCAAGUUAUCGAUAUUUACUAGAAUCAUAGGUUUUACCUGUCUUUCUAGUUUUAUCACCAGUUAUCCAGCUAGGAAUCGGUGGUUUCGGCUUUCUUUACAUUCUGCUAUUAAAUUCGCUUAUUUUACAUAUAGCCGAUUAGAUCUGUUCCUAGUGUUGUUGCUAUAGCAUUGCAUCGAUUACUCUAGUAGUUUUCUAUCUACAAGGCUACAGUGAUCGGUUGCUUUAUAGCCGAUUUCUUUAUUACGGCAAAUCGGCCGAUUCGCUGAUAAGCUCUCUCGAGAUCGGAAACUUAGCCGAUCGUGAUUUCUGGACCUGACACGUAUUCUUCCUUGCCAAUCAACAUGUCAGAUUGGCUGGCACACCGCGCGAACCGCACCAGGGCAAUCACCCGAACAGGAGUUAAGCAGAUUCUCCCGGGUCGUGUGUCAGACGCUGGGGAUCCGGUUGACCAAUUUCUAGCGCCAACACCACCUCCACGACUGCAACCACAAUGGCCACCAACAUCACGGACGCUACCACCACGGUGAAAAGAUCAUCCAUUAGCCUAAACUAUCCAUAUAAAAUUGUAAUAAGAUAGAUUAUUCCACAAACAUCAACUUUAAUAAUUAUUAUGCCAUAAAACAUCAUAAUUCACCAAAUGCUAAGAAUAAAAGUGUUGACGCCGGAUUUCGUCACUAGUAGAAUCGGCGCUAAGAAGAGGGGGAAUCGGAGAAGCACAGUUGGGAAUCGGCCAAAAUGGUGCUACAGUGUGAGAUCGGCCGGUGACUUUUGUCUCGCUUUGGGUCGAAUGCACCAGGGUCCCAAUCGGUAAUGUUUUACCGAUAAGGAAUCGGCCGAUUAGGAGGAUGGGCUAAUUGGGCCUGUAUGGGCUUGGAAAGGGAUAGAAGGAUAAGGUGGAAAGCAGCCCACGAAGCGUGGAGUAAUCAACCUAGCACGAAUUGUGCUUGUAGAUAUUCGUUUUCUGUUUGAAUUAGGGAUACAAUUCUAGUCGGUUAAGAAGUUAUCUGUACGGGGCUAUAAAUAUCUACCUUUGUAAAUCUGUGAUCAUCAACCAAUCAAUACAACAAGCUACUUUUUUCCUUGUACUUACUUUCAAGCGACUUCGCUACUACUUUUCUCUUUUCUACGAGUUCGUGCGGGUUGGCGGGGCUGCAUCAUCUUGAUCUCCGGCCGAUUCUGUAAGUUCCGUUUAUCGAGUAAUAUCUAAGCUUUAACUUUGGGCGUAUCGCUGUUGUUUCGUUUAGAUUUAUUCACUAGUUAUCGAUAUUCGCUAGAUUCAUAGGUUUUUACCUGUUUUCUAGUCUUUAUCACCAGUUAUCCAGCUAGGAAUCGGUAGUAUCGGCUUUCUUUAUUUCCUAUCGUUAGAUUCAUCUAUUGCCGAUUAGAUCUGUUCCUUGUGUUGUUAUCAUAAGCUUUGUACCGAAUACUCUAGCAAUUUCCUGUCUACAAGGCUACAGAGAUCAGGCUGUCUUAUAGCCGAUUUCAUUACCACGGUAAAUCGGCCGAGUCGCUGAUAAACUCUCUCGAUCGGAAACUUAGCCGAUCGUAAUUUCUGGACCUGACACGUGUUCUUCCUUGCCAAUCAACAGGUCAGAUUGGCUGGCACGCCGCGCGAACCGCACCAGGGCAUUCACCCGAACAGGAGCUAAGCAGAUUCUCCCGGGUCGUGUGUCGGUCGCUUGGAUUCGGUUGACCGAUUUCUAGCGCCAACACACUUUUGGCACGCUCAGUGGGACAAAUACAACCGCUAUCAUGUCGAAAGCUGCUGAAGUCUCCGAAGAUAGCGUCAUCGAGGUGACGGAAGCAGAUCUGAAGGACGACCAGAAGGAAGAACUGGACAAGUGUACGGCACACUUCCGGAAAGCUUGCCUGAAGUCUUUCAGUCGCUCCAGAAGCGGGGAGACCAUCAAGAAGACUCCGUUCCCUGCUCCCCGCCAGAUCACAAUUUCUGAAGAUUCGGAUAAAAUGUCCGAUAUGAUUCAACAGUCUAUUCAUCACGCCUUCAUUGAUCAGUCCCUGGUACUUUCCAACAUGGUGCACAACGCUGUUGUCAACUCCUUCGUUGGUGGGGUACCUCAAGGGUACAGAGGACCAACAUAUUUUCAGCCGAUUCCACCAAAUCAGACUUAUCCAAAUUCGGCUUCACAGCCGAUUCAAUUUUCUGUCAGGAGUUCAGGCGCUUCUGCAUCAUCAACUCCUUUGGGAUAUGGCUCCAUCCAGCUGUCCUCUGCACCAUUUCCUCCAGUUAGCCCAUCACCCUGGGGGGCACCUUCUGCCACGGCCGGUCUGAAUCAAUCGGCCAGUCAAGGAAACCCUCCGUUCCAGGCGUCCUUCCAGGCGGCCAUUCGGCCGACCAUACCACCAUACCAGUCUGUCGCUCCGGAGGCCAACAAGACAGCCGAGCUCAUGCUAUAUGAUGAAACGAGUGGUUCAUUCAAACAGCCGACCUUUACUACACAGCCGGCUUUCACUCAUAUACCACCUUUCAAUCAGUCUCCAUUUAUUCAGCCUCCGAUUUACCAGCACGUGCCGAUUUCGCAGCCAACAGUUCACCAGCAACAGCCAGAUUGGUCGGCACGAAUUGCGGAGGUGAUGCAAGAACAAUUCGGCUUGAAGCUGAAAAUGCAAACUUAUACCUACAGAACACCAUACCCGCCUACAUAUGACCUAUUGCCGUUCCCCCAUCGGUAUAAAGUUCCUGAUUUCACUAAAUUUUCGGGGAUAGAUGAUACUUCGACCGUAGAGCAUGUGAAUAGAUUCAUCAUCCAAUGCGGAGAAGCAGCUACGCAAGACGCCCUGCGAGUACGAUUGUUGUCGUCAUCUCUGUCUGGUUCGGCCUUUCAAUGGUUCACGACAUUGCCGCCAAACUCCAUUAUCACGUGGGCCGAUUUAGAAAGACAGUUCCACAAAUACUGCUAUGCCGGGGUGCAUGAGAUGAAGCUGUCCGAUUUGACCGGCCUCAGGCAAAGAAGUGAUGAGCCGAUAUCCUCAUAUAUACAGAGGUUUCGGGAAAUCGGAAACAAGUGCUACUCCCUGGCUCUAACCGAUGCGCAGUUGGCCGAUAUAGCUUUUCAAGGCCUUCUCCCCCACAUCAAGGAAAGAUACGCUUCACAAGAGUUCGAAAGUCUGAGCCAGAUUGUUCACCGAUUGUCUGGACAAGAGGUACGUCCUUUCGACCCGCGAAGGAAUUUCCAGAAGAAAGUGGCGUUCCUGGAAGAGUUGGAGGAUGAGGAAGAUGUUGAAGUCAGACUCGCGGAGUGGAUCAAGGGAAAAAAGCUGAUAUCAUGCCCAUUCGGCAAGAAAGAUCCGGAAGUGUUCGGUUUUGACACGACUAAGGCCGAUAAAAUCUUCGAUCUUCUCCUCCAGGAAGGGCAGAUUAAACUCUCACCAUACCAUACAAUACCUUCUGCUGAACAAUUAAAAAAGAUGAAGUAUUGCAAGUGGCACAAUGCCACAUCCCAUGAUACCAACGAGUGCAAGAUCUUCAGGCAACAGAUACAGUCGGCCAUUGAGCAAGGCAGACUUAAAUUUGAAGUGCCGGCAAAAUCGGCCAAGCCAAUGAAGAUUGACCAACACCCCUUUCCUACCAACAUGGUUGAUACGGGGAAGAAUUCACUCCAAACAAAAGUGCUGACGUCCGAAUCGGCCAAAAAGAGUGGCGCCGUUGAUCCCAGAAAUCAAACUACGCCUGAAGAUGUCAAGGGGAAGCGGCGGAUAGAGGACGAUGAUGGUGAGUUAGAAGGGCCGCGCAUUACUUCCCAGUUCCUGCUCCAGAAGUACCAACGUCAGCAUGAACAUUCAAGGUCCCGAGAAGAAGCGAUGCGUAGGCACGAGGAGCACUAGAGAUGCCCGUUCUUCAUUCAUUGUUGGGAAAAUAACCUCAGCCUACCUUCGGCCGAUACUUGCCCAGAAUGCAACGGUCCCUAUCGUGGCAAUCGGCCGUUCAACAGGUCUCGCUCUAGGGACGGAAGGCCAGAACCGAUCAGCAGGAAUUGGCGCAACCAAGAUGACCAGCGCCCUCCCGUGCGUGAUCGGCUGGGGGGCAGAAGUGACCGAUAUGAUCGGUCGGAAGAUAGACGCCAUGAUAGGCAGGGGGGCAGGACUGAUCGACAUGACCAGUCAAACAACAAAGCCAGCGCUCACAGCCGGCUCGAGGAGAUGGCCGAUGCUCGGGUGACGGAUGAAAACCCGUUAGGACGCAAACCGGAGUGGGAACGCGCCAGGUCAGAAGGAAGACCAAUAAACCCCAGGUGGUGCCCCGACGGACUGACCAAAUCUCAAAAGCGAAGAAUCCAGCGUCUCCGCCAAUGGGAACAACAAGAGGAGGAACAACAGAGCACGGCAGAUAAGAAGGAAGGAAGGCCUCAGGUGUGGCGCCCCAAAAGGAACGAUAAAAGGGACGAUGAAUCGGCGGGUGACGAAUCGGCAGCCGAGAUCGGCAUGGUUUUCAUACUGCCGAUGGAGUUCAUGACUCCCGCCGAUCAACAGGACGUAUCGGCGAUAGAAGAACAGACAGCGCGGUUGGCUUUGGAGCCAAUGAUGGCCACGUUCGAGAAGCCCGAAGAUGACGAACGACAACAUAUGAAGGCGUUGUUCCUUAAAGGGCAUGUUGACGGUCGCCCCCUCACUAGAUUAAUGGUAGACGGAGGAGCUGCAGUCAACAUCAUGCCGUACGCCGUACUCCAGAAACUUGGGAAAAGCGACGACGACUUGACCAAGACAGACAUGAUGCUCAAAGACUUCGAAGGCAAGGUGUCAAACGCUCGCGGUGCUCUCUGCGUCGACCUCACCAUCGGCAGUAAGACCCUUCCUACCACCUUCUUCAUUAUUAAUGGCAAGGGAUCCUACAAUAUGCUACUUGGCCGAGACUGGAUACACGCAAACUGCUGCAUCCCGUCAACUAUGCAUCAGUGCCUCGUACAAUGGGUCGGCGAUAACAUCGAGGUGGUCAAAGCCGACUCCGCGUACAGCAUUGCAGCGGCCGACACGCAGCAGUGGAGCUGCGAAACCGUCAGGUGCAUAUCAGGUAGGGUAUGGGAGACCGAUUUCCUAAAGGUCACCGAUUUUGGCCUACAGCCGAUCCGAGCAGUCGGCUCCGAAGACUCAGAAUAGAUGGAUCAGUUCGCCCGAGAAGAUGGGAAGCUAGGGCACGGGUUCACAUCGGCCGAUUCAUUGGAGAUGAUAGAUUUAGGUGAUGGAACCAAACCAAGGCCGACUUUUAUUAGUGCACAUUUAGAUCCAGAAUACAAGUGUAAAUUGACAAAUUUAUUAAAGGAAUUCAAGGAUUGUUUUGCUUGGGAGUAUCACGAGAUGCCCGGUUUAGACCGAUCCAUUGUUGAACAUCGGCUACCCAUAAAACCAGGGUAUCGGCCGUACCAACAACCCGCACGGCGCUGCAAUCCUAAAAUUUUACCAGACAUAAAAGUUGAAAUAACUCGGCUAAUCAAAGCAAAAUUUAUUCGGCAGUGUCGUUAUGCCGAGUGGAUUUCUAACAUCGUACCGGUAUACAAGAAAAAUGGGAAGCUACGCGUUUGCGUUGAUUUCAGGAACCUUAAUCAGGCCACACCGAUGGAUGGUUACCCCAUGCCAACGGCCGAUGUACUGAUCAACGCUGCCGCGGGGCACAAAAUCAUUAGCUUCAUGGAUGGAAACGCCGGCUAGAAUCAAAUACUUAUGGCCGAAGAGGAUAUACCCAAAACGGCCUUCAGAUGUCCAGGCCACCUUGGUUUGUUCGAGUGGGUAGUGAUGACUUUCGGCUUGAAGAACGCUGGCGCUACAUAUCAGAGAGCUAUGAAUUACAUUUUUCACAAACUCAUUGGCCUUCUGGUAGAAAUCUACAUCGAUGAUGUCGUGGUCAAGUCCAAAAGUCACGAGGAACAUCUGGCCGAUUUGCGAAAAGUGCUAGAGUGUACCAAAAAGCUCGGUCUUAAGAUGAAUCCCAACAAAUGUGCUUUCGGCGUAUCCGCCGGACAGUUCUUAGGAUUCAUGGUACACGAACGAGGCAUAGAGGUCAAUCGGAAGACCAUAGCGGCCAUCAACAAAGUCGUGGCCCCACAGAACAAAACCGAACUGCAGUCUCUAAUCGGCAAGGUGAAUUUCAUCAGAAGGUUUAUAUCUAAUCUAUUUGGACGGAUUCAGGCGUUCACGCCACUUCUGAAGCUAAAGCUGGACCAGGAAUUUAUAUGGGGAGAAGAGCAGCGCAAAGCGUUAGAAGAUAUCAAGCAAUACUUGGUCUCACCACCAGUGUUGGUUCCCCCCCAAACUGGUAAGCCGUUUAAACUGUACUUAUCAGCCGAUGAAAAAGCUAUUGGAUCGGCUCUAGUCCAGGAGUUUAAAAGCAAAGAGCGGGUAAUUUAUUACUUCAGUAGAAGACUCCUGGAUGCUGAAACAAGAUAUCCUCCAGUGGAGCGUUUGUGCCUGUGUCUUUACUUCUCAUGCACCAAACUCAGGCACUAUCUACUGUCGGCAGAAUGUGUAGUCGUAUGCAAAGACGACGUAGUAAAAUACAUGCUAUCGCUGCCGAUAUUGAAAGGACGAAUCGGCAAAUGGAUCUUAGCUUUAUCAGAAUUUGACCUGCGGUAUGAAUCGGCAAAAGCCGUCAAGGGUCAAGUCAUGGUCGAUUUCGUCGCCCAACACUGUGGACCGGAGAUUGCCCUCGUAGAGCUGGCACCUUGGAAAUUAUUUUUCGACGGGUCAUCAUGUGGGGUCGGAUCAGGAAUCGGCAUCGUUCUCAUAUCGCCUCGGGGGGCAAGCUAUGAUUUUUCUCUGCCGAUAGAAACCGCCGCUACUAACAAUCAAGCGGAGUACAGAGCUGUAUUAAAAGGCUUACAACUAUUAAGAGAAGUCAAGGCCGAUUCCGUUGAAGUCUUCGGAGAUUCUAUGCUUAUUGUGGAUCAACUAACCGGAAGGUCUGAAUGCAAAGAUGACGUAUUAAGAAUUUAUUACGAAGAAUGCUUACAGCUCUUGAAAGAGUUCCGAUCGGCAGUAAUCGAGCACAUCCCAAGAAACCGCAACGAAGAUGCCAACAAACUCGCCCAGCAUGCAUCUGGGUAUCAGCCAAUUCUAGGCACUAUGGCUCUAGAACUCGCGGCCGAUGACUGGCGGAAAGAAAUUGCCGACUACCUGAAGGAUCCGUCUAAAAAGGUGGAGCGACGAGUAUGUUUUCAUGCCACCAAAUACGUACUGCUCGAAGAUGAUCUAUUCUACCGAACGAUUGACGGAGUUCUUCUCAAAUGCCUUGGGACAGAAGAGGCCAAGACUCUAAUGGGAGAAAUCCAUGAAGGGGUAUGUGGGGCACACCAAUCGGCACACAAGAUGAAGUGGAUGAUCAGGAACAACGGGUACUAUUGGCCGACGAUCCUUGAAGACUGUUUCAAAUAUUAUAAGGGUUGUCAGGAGUGUCAAAAGUUUGGAAAUGUCCAGCGUGCACCCGCAUCGGCCAUGAAUCCCAUCAUCAAGCCAUGGCCGUUCAGGGGAUGGGGAAUAGACCUUAUCGACCAAAUUUACCCACCGUCAAGCAAGGGGCACAAAUUUAUUCUGGUGGCUACUGAUUACUUCACCAAAUGGGUAGAGGCCAUCCCGUUAAGAGCUGUGACAUCGGCUAUCAUGGCUGAUUUCGUAAGGGACCACAUCGUCUACCGAUUCGGUAUCCCUCAAACUAUAACAACCGAUCAAGGAACAAUGUUCACAUCGGGGGAAUUUGAGGAAUUUACGACCGAUAUGGGAAUCAAAUUGUUAAAUUCUUCUCCGUAUUACGCCCAAGCCAAUGGUCAAGCAGAAUCCUCCAAUAAAGGAAUAAUCAAAUUGAUCAAAAGGAAAAUCGAAGAACAGCCAAAGAAGUGGCAUUUAUGUUUGACUGAGGCCCUGUGAGCAUACAAGAUGGCUUGUCAUGGGGCUACCAAGUUGUCUCCCUACCAGUUGGUGUACGGUCACGAUGCAGUACUACCAUGGGAAUCGAGAGCGGGAUCAAGACGUAUUUCACUCCAGGACCAGUUAACGGCCGAUGAUUACUCGUCACUUAUGAAUAGAGAACUUGACGAUUUAGCUGGCCAACGAUUGAGGGCUCUGAUAAGCAUUGAAGAAAAUAAAAAGAGAGUAGCCAGGUGGUACGAUAAGAAGGUCAAAGUCAAACAAUUCUCCCCUAGGGACUUGGUAUGGAAGUUAGUAUUGCCGAUCGGGUCGAAAGAUCCUAAAUUCGGAAAAUGGUCCCCUACCUGGGAAGGGCCGUAUAAAAUCGGCAGAUGCGCUCCAGGAAAUGCUUACAUUUUGGAAACAAUAGAAGGAGAAGAAUUUACUAGAGCUCUAAACGGAAGGUACUUAAAAAGAUACUACCCCAGUAUAUGGGUCGGAGCGUAAGAAAUUGACCAUGACACGAUCACACAUAACCGGUACAAAUCGGUUCAGACAAUUAGCCGAUACAAAUCGGUUCAAACACAUAGUCGACCGGAUCGGCCGAUUGCAUUCAUUCGGUACGGGCGACGGAUUACAUGGCCGGCAAAACAUCAGUCGCCCUUAGAACAAAAAAUACAAAAAACAAACUAGUUAUUCUUCUUCUUGGACGCCUUCCCGUUCCGCUCCAACUCGUUCACGACGCGGAGGCGCGAAGUCCCUGCCGCCGCGAGGACGACUGGCCGAGGAAGCAGACGGCUCCUGUCGGCGGGAGGUCGCUGGCUGCCGUUCCUCUCCACGAAGUCUAAGAUCGUACGGGCUGCCGUGGUGAUGUCAUCUUCAAGAUCGUCACGAUGAUGGCUCCUGACGGUUGGAGAUUGACGAUUACUUUCACUCACCACGGAAUCCAAGACCACAUGAGCUUCCGCAGUAAUGUGGUCUUGGAGUUCCUCUCGGUGAGCCAGGAUCAGCGCCUUGUCCUCCGACGUCAACGGGUCAUCGGAGUGAAUGCACUCAAUGGCGCGCACGAGCUCGGGGCUAAGACGUUGAGGCUGAAAUAGAGAAGGAAUAAGAAGGGACAUUCUCUUCCUAGGAUCUAAGGGAAGGUAGAGGUCAGGACUUCACCUGGUUAAUGGAAGAAGAAGAAGCCGAUGAAGCCAUGACAAAGAGUCACACCGACGAGAGGAAGAAGAAAAGUAAACCAAAAGCCAAAUUGGUGCUAUCGGGACUAAGCGCCGAGGUCGGUAUUUAUGGAAAAAGAUGCGUGGAAAUCUGGUAAGGCCACGUCCCAUCGGUAAUAAGAAAGGCAAUAAAUAGAAAGGGCGUCGCGAGAGACGGUCAAAGAAGAUAGUAAAUGUUCAUACAAAACGGUCAGUGUUUUACAGAUUACCCAGAAGGGUAUCGAUGGCCGUGAUGGCCCGACGCCGGAUCUGAUCGGCACAGUCAAGAACCUGUUGGUCUUCUUCCGCCGAUCCAGGGACCUCCGGUGCGCUGCGAUGGAGUCUCAGGGCCUCAUGAGCAAAGCGUUGCCUAUCCCGUGUCAAAUCGGCAAUAACAGAGGGUAGCUCUUGGAGUUUGUUCUCUUCGGCACUGAUUGCCUUAGUCACUUGCUCCAUCUCCUUGGCAAGCUCCGCCCUCCGACGUUUGAGGCGGUCUAUCUCGCUGAUGAUCGCCGGGCGGGAAUCUUCUAGAACGUGGAUACGCCGAUGCGCCUCUUGAGCCUGACGCUUGAAAGCGUCUUCAUCUUCAUGGGUCUUGGCCAGUUUAGCGCGAUCGGCCAUAUGAUGAAGGGCCCUGAAGACUGGGAUCCUCAUGGACUCGAUGAAGGCCGCCGGCGCUAGGGCCUCCUCCGCCUCCUCUGGUACUCGUCCGCUGACGUCAUUGAAGAGUAACCGAAUCGGCGAAGCAUCUUCUACUAGUCGGCCGAUGUCCCCCUGAAGGAGGGAUCGGAUGCUGGAAAGUUUAGCUCGGACGUCAUCAGGAACGGAGCUCAGGGCGACUUGGCGAGAAGCAACUUCUUCGUCAUCGGAAAGGGCAACCGCAAAGGAAAAGAGGCUGUUGUCGGGGGUGUCUUGUUCCUGGAGAAAAUAAAGAGAAAGGAUAAAUCGGCGGGGAGUAAGAGCAAAUCGGCUGGAUAGAAGCCGAAACAGAAACUUACCAUUUUGAAGCGAAUUUCCUCAUGCUGCACUUGUGAAGCCGUCAUGCCUUGCUCAGGAGCCUGCGCCAUGGGUUCAUCGGAUGAAGAAGACUCCACGAUAAUCGGCGCGGUGCUUGGACCGGCUCCCUGAGAAGAGAUCGGUGGUCGAGGAGCGCUUAGUGUGCCGAUGGCCUGUGUCAGAGGAUUGAAUAAGUACAUUACACAAACACCCAAAGGAAAUCGGUAAGAUAAGUACUAUACCUCAACAGAUGGGGGCAGGGGCGCGUCGAUGGCUGGUUGAGUUGCUGCCGAUUGUUGUAUUUCCAUAGGGGUGCUCUGUGUGGUCUAAGGUUAAGAAGGGUUAAUAUCGGAAUAACAAUCGGGGGCAGUAAAGCUCAGGUUUACCUGUAUGGCUUCCAACAGCAACGAUGCGACGGCCGCCCCAGCUUGCGUGAUGGCUUGAGUAUCGGCACCGUGAAUGACCUGAGAGGGUGGUGCGGUCGAAGUUUCUGCCGAUACGAGCACAGGAGGAUCCGCCGAUUCCGUACGAGCCCGGACUCGGCGACUGGUCUUCUUAGUGGUCCUCUUAUGAACUUGUUUCGAUCGGCCAGCAAUCAUGUCAACAGACGGGGCGUCAUAGCCGAUAAGAGGAUAAGUCGUAUAUGGAUGACUCUCUAUUAGCCGUUCGCUGCGGCUGUGCGUUGGAGGGGUCCGAUUCUCGGCCUGAAGAAAUAAUAAAGUCAUUAGUACUCAAUCAUGUUAAGAGGAAUAAAAAUCAGCUAGGUGAAGUACCUCAGCGUUCGGGUCGAUGUUGGCCGGGUCCAGAAGGUUGCAGUAUGCCGAUGCUGAGUUGCAGAAAAGAAAUUGCUUCCAAUCGGCCCACCAGAGUUUGAACGGCUGGACAGCAAAUGGAGCUACUAGCCAGUCGUUCAAGUUAAUGGUACUGGAGUCCGGAAUUUGGUCUCGCAACCGACUGUAAUCCAGGCCAGAUGUGAGCUCAUCUCUAAACUUGAUCCGGCCAGCAAAGUACACUUGAAUUGGCAGCUGACCCAUGCCGAAUUGACGUGCUGCAGCGGAGGGGUUGUAGAAUUCGUACGUAGGGGCAUCCUUCCCCGAGAAGAAGUUGGCUUGCAGGAGUCCUGGCUUGAUCAACUCUUCAUAGAGAUCUUCAUCAAAUCGGCCGGAAGCCGAAUCGAAGAAGGUAGGGAGUUCAAAGACCGGGUCGUCUCGCUGAUACGGAAACCAAGUGGUUGCGUCUUCAUUAAAUCCAUUGUAGAAGCAUCGAAAGUACUCGGCUACCUUUGUAGCAGAAUACGCGCAACCUGGAAAAGCUGACGCCGAUUCGCCAAAGGACAUGCAUCGGCGACGUUCGGUAGGGUCCUCCGCCGAUUCGAUAUUGGGGAACGUCAUGUGGUCCACCGGCUGCUGGGUGAUUCUGCUCAUGUAAAGGUUCAACCACAGAUUGAUGAACCACCAGGGCCCACCUUGAUUGCCGAUCGGCUCUCCCUUGGAUAGUCUUUUGCCGAUUUGAUGAAGCAUAUGGUACGUGGCCCCUAGCAAAUGUUUCCCAAGAGGGAUAUGGUUUCCCCUGGACAAUGCUUCAGCUAAGGUCUGGGUAUUGGUUGUCGGGCCGGCGGCUCUUCCGCAAAAGAAGUGCUUUUCUAGCCACAUCAUCAGGAAAGCUGUGUGCUCCCUGUUCUCAACAGUCCCGGUCCUCUUAUUACUUCUGAUGAAGCCCUUCCAUCCGCCGAUUCCCCUUGUAUCCAGCCGAUGUGACGUUGUGGCUAAAAGGUGGAAGGGUGUAUCUGGGGAGGAUAUGUCAAGGCCGGUCAACAGGACCACAUCAGCCAGUGUGGGGGUCAUAGGACCGUGCCCAAAUAAGAAUGCAUUAAGUGCAUCAGACCAAAAAUAAGAAGCCGCCAUCACUAACGGCUCAUUUUUCUCCAUCUGAGAUAAGGAGAGGUUGAUGCACUGGCCAAUUUUGAGCUCUUCCCAUGAGAUGCUCCUUGAUGCGGCCACCCGUUGGUACCACUCCCUCCAACCUAGGGUUUCAUUCGGCCAGGAUCUAAAAGUGCCCAGCCAGUGGUCUAAGUUCAUAUCAGACAGUUUCAAGGGUAUCCGGUCGGUUUCCAAAUUUAUGAGAUCUAUUGGAUCUGGGUUUCCCAUGGGACCGAGACAAACAAGGCCAGGGCUUCCCGUGAGGUGAAUGGUAAUUCUAUGCCUAACCGCCUAAAAAAGAAGGGGAGUGUAGAAAAGUAAGAAACAGAUCUAAGGUGAAUACAUUGCCGAUAGAAGAAGGAUUCGGUAUUUACCUCUGGGAUGAAGUUCUGAGUGAUCGGCGUGGUCGCCGAUGCGGAUGCGGAUGACGGGGCCGCGAUGGGGAUCGCCAUUGGGAUCUCCGAUGAAGCCCCUUCAUCUGUGGAUGGAGUGACAGUUGUCGCCACCACCACCGGAGAUGCUACAUCUGGGGCGUCGCGUGCGGGAGAGCUGCCGGAAGGAGCCGCCAUUGGAAGAGAAGAGGGAAGAAGUAACAGGAGGUGGAGCUAGAAAGCUUCGGCGGUAAGGGAAAGGUGCUGAAGGAAGAAGAAGGCGCGCGCGCUGGGAAAAGAGACGUAAGCUUCAAGAUGAGGUGCGGGUGAAGCGCUAUUUAAAGGAUGCCUGAAGGGGGGUAAAAAUGGAAUUUUCACCGCACCGGCGCUUCGAGUUUUUCGGGAGUAGUGGCUGUCGUGGGCGCCCGUUUUGAAAAAUUGCAAUGAUUAGCUGGAAGACCGCGAAACGGACAGAUGUUUUCACUGCGGCCGUUUCGGAGGGGAAGUUAUAAAGAAUUUCGAAGUAAAAGAUUAUGUUUUACUCCGAAACUGGGGGGCAUGUGUUGACACCGGAUUUCGUCACUAGUAGAAUCGGCGCUAAGAAGAGGGGGAAUCGGAGAAGCACAGUUGGGAAUCGACCAAAAUGGUGCUACAGUGUGAGAUCGGCCGGUGACUUUUGUCUCGCUUUGGGUCGAAUGCACCAGGGUCCCAAUCGGUAAUCUUUUGCCGAUAAGGAAUCGGCCGAUUAGGAGGAUGGGCUAAUUGGACCUGUAUGGGCUUGGAAAGGGAUAGAAGGAUAAGGUGGAAAGCAGCCCACGAAGCGUGGAGUAACCAACCUAGCACGAAUUGUGCUUGUAGAUAUUCGUUUUCUGUUUGAAUUAGGGAUAGAAUUCUAGUCGGUUAAGAAGUUAUCUGUACGGGGCUAUAAAUAGCUACCUUUGUAAAUCUGUGAUCAUCAACCAAUCAAUACAACAAGCUACUUUUUUCCUCGUACUUACUUUCAAGCGACUUCGCUACUACUUUUCUCUUUUCUACGAGUUCGUGCGGGUUGGCGGGGCUGCAUCAUCUUGAUCUCCGGCCGAUUCUGUAAGUUCCGUUUAUCGAGUAAUAUCUAAGCUUUAACUUCGGGUGUAUCGCUAUUGUUUCGUUUAGAUUUAUUCACUAGUUAUCGAUAUUCGCUAGAUUCAUAGGUUUUUACCUGUUUUUCUAGUCUUUAUCACCAGUUAUCCAGCUAGGAAUCGGUAGUAUUGGCUUUCUUUAUUUCCUAUCGUUAGAUUCAUCUAUUGCCGAUUAGAUCUGUUCCUAGUGUUGUUAUCAUAAGCUUUGUACCGAAUACUCUAGCAAUUUCCUGUCUACUAGGCUACAGAGAUCAGGCUGUCUUAUAGCCGAUUUCAUUACCACGGUAAAUCGGCCGAGUCGCUGAUAAACUCUCUCGAUCGGAAACUUAGCCGAUCGUAAUUUCUGGACCUGACACGUGUUCUUCCUUGCCAAUCAACAGGUCAGAUUGGCUGGCACGCCACGCGAACCGCACCAGGGCAUUCACCCGAACAGGAGCUAAGCAGAUUCUCCCGGGUCGUGUGUCGGUCGCUUGGAUUCGGUUGACCGAUUUCUAGCGCCAACAAAAAGAUUGUCCAAAAUAAUGGAAGAAAUUUAUAGUUAUUGUUUUAGAUCUCAUGUACAUUGUGAUAACUAAUCAUAUCACAAGAAUAUUUUUCAUUCCAAUCAAAUUGCAGCCCAAUUCACAUGGCAUCCCUAUUGAGAAUUCACAUUUUAAAAUUUAAAAUUGGAUUCACAUUCACAAUUUCACAAUUCACAUGCAUGCAUCCCUAUUGAGAAUUGACAUUUAAAAAUUUAAAAUUAAAUUCACAUUCACAAUUUCACUAAGUACUACUAUUCACAAUUAAAAUAAAAUCAAAUUGAGAAAAAUGAAAAGAAAAUAAAAUAAAUUUAGGAAACUGACGCUCGGAGAUUGGAGGCACGGUUGGCCGGUGACACAGAGAGGAGGGGCCUGGCGGUGGAGCGGCGCGGGAAGGGGAGGCACCGCGGUGGCAGCCCGAGAAAGAGGAGGCAGGGUCGGCCAGUGACAGGAGGGGCCCGGCCCCGACGGUGGAGUCGGCGCGGGGAGGGGAGGCACCAUGACAGGAAGGCGCCGCGUGAGAAGGGGAGGAGGCGUGGCGCUGCGACCCGGUGUGGACUGCCUAUAUAGGAGGGCAUUAGCAAGGACCCACCCCUAGUAACCCUUUCCAGGGGCAGGUGAUGUGACGCCAUCACCCACACCUGUUAACGAUUUGCAGGGGCGGGUGAAGCCAUUACCCACCCCUUCAAAUUAUUUUGCUUUUUUGUUGUUAAAAAUUCAUUUAAAAUGUGAAAAAUAGCAAAAUACCAAAAAAAAAUUGAAACUCCCACACUAAGGUUAUAAUGAACUAUAGAUCAUGGAAAAAAUAAGCCAAGAGUAUUUCAGUACAUAUAAGGGUUAAGAAUGUAGAAAUCUUAAAGUAUUGCUUCAGUAACAUAGAAAAUUGCUUUUAAAAUCAACAUCUAGCCAAUGACAUUUAGUACCGGUGCUAGACAUUGACCGAUACUAGCCACUGACCAGUACUAAUACCUAACGCGCGGGCAUCGUAGCAGGAGAUGGUCUUGGUCUUCAUGCACACAACAUAGUAUGCACAUCGAAGCAGGAUCGAUUUUAGUUAGCCUGGAUAUGGAUUACAAGUACCAAAAGGAAAGGAAAGGAUAGGGAGCAUGUGGCUAUGGCGUCGCUUUUGCCCAAAGGAGGAAAGAGGCGUCACUACACGGGCUGCCGAGCGCCGAGUUUGGCGUUGAAGAAAGUCGCGACCAGGAACUUAAAGACCAAAUUUGUGGCUAACUUUUUCAGUGCGGCUAUUUUGGUUUCCGUUAGGGUACUUCAGUUCGGUUUCGUUCAUCGGUUAAUUAUGCUCACCCCAUCGAUUUCUGUCAAGUUAGCUGAAAGGAACAACUUCUUUGAUGGGAUGAAUACUUGUUUUGGGCUUGCAAACUGAAUUUGCAAAGCCUGGUUUGUUGGGUAGGCCAUUUUAUUCGACCGAAACUGAGAUAAAUGACAUGAGACUAAAAAAAGAGAAAGUGAUAAAUAAAAGAUCUGUGCAGUUGUUGUACAGUUGGUUUAUGCAGAUAUGCGCUCUCAUGACCAAGUCCUAGUAGGUUACGCUAAUUAACUGAAGGAUCUGGUAACCCAAUCUACCUUAGAUAGCAGCAAGCCAUGUAACCCAGGUGGUUUUACCACGCAACAUGGCUCAUGCAUAACGAGUGGGAGCAGGUUAUGCAGAUUCAUCACGAUCAGCCGGCCAGCCACACGCCUUGGGAUUUGCUAUCAUGGUAACCGAAUCUGCCUUAUAUGGUAGCAAGCCAUCUCCGGUGCACAUGGGUUACACCGUCUGCAUCUUUGUCCUCCGAGAACGUGCCAACACGGAUCAGCAGGUCUGCUUCUGAACCAACCAAUGUGUUUUUCAAUCCUUGAUGUCCCCUUGUUCAUGAAAAAUACAAACUAAUGCAAGAUAAUGACGAUCUGAAUUCCUGUCCAUUAUAUAUUUCAGGUGCUUGGAAGAAGGUGCUGAGAACUUCCUGCUCAAGCCUGUCAGGCCGUCGGACAUCUCCCGCAUAACCACCCGGAUGCUACUGCACUGAGCUCUGCUUGGAUCAGUGGCCACCGCAGUCAAUCGCAUUGCUAUUAGUAGUGUUUUGCAGUAAUAGAACUCGAGUAAAUUUAGAAUAGCUAUUAGUUUGCACGAUGUGUAAUGCAGUUGGGGAAUGCUCCUGCUCCUUAAUUAAAUAGCUUUGGGUUAUCUUUGGGUGUCAUUCUCGGAAACUAGUAGCAGCAAUUAGCUGUAGGAUUCCAGUAGCGAGUUUCUUCUUUCCCUAAGAUUUGAGAUGUGUAACCAGUGCAUGAAUCUUUUUGUUUAAAGUAGGAUUACGGUGCCUGAUCCUUUUGCCACCACUAGUAAGUUUUGUUUUCUAUCUGUGUCCAUCCGAGUUUGAUAUCUUGAUCCGUAUCCUGUGAUUAACUUCUUUUUAAUCUCUGAAUGAUUUGAUGCAAUCUUCGUGAUGUUAUUAUAUACUAGCCAAAUGCCCGUGCGUUGCUACGGUAAAAUGUGGUUGUAUUUUCUAAACCUCGUGUAUUUUUAUAUUUCUACUACUAUAUUUUAUUAUAACGGAUCUAUAUAUUUGCUAGAAAAUCAAUAUAAUUUUGACUUAACAUAUGUUUUCUACUCGUACUUACUAUACUUUUUAUACUUUUUAUUUAAGCAAGUGAUAACCAUUCUAAUUUUAAUCUUAGAGGAUUAUAUAAGCGAACCCGCAACAUCAGAUUACCGUUAUUUCAACCCGCCACCUUUUGAUGAAAAUGUGUAGCCCUGUACAAAUAAUCGUGUUACAAAAACUACGUCCUUCUUAAUAACCUAAGCAUUCGAUGUUCUAUAUAAUAGUGUUACUUGUCCUUUCAAUUUCAAAGCAUGAUCUUGACCUGCUAAAUCAAUUGCAACUGAAUAUAUGCCAAGAUUCUCAUGCAGCUGAUGCUUAGUGAUCUAGCAAUUCAUAUUGUAAAAAACUAUGUUUGGCACAUGACCAGAUGUUUACACUUCACACUGUCAAAAUUGGAAAUACCAUCACAAAUGCAUCAGCUGCUUUUGUUAUUCCUAGGAGCAAGUAGCUCCGGUCAAUUGUGCAGUGUUGUGCAAAAGGCUCUUCCACAUCGCCUAUGUCCAUGACUAUUCGAUCUGAUGCAUCGGUUAUCCUCUCAUACACGACAUGGUACUAUAAGUUCCGUCUUUUAGGGAAGCAAUGAAAGUGUUGUUACCUAUCACUUUGCUUAAAAUUCUAUUUAUGUACUCUAUAGUUUCUCCGCACGCACAUGGGUAAAAUAGGCAGUCAAGAAAAAAAAUGAGUUCUUCGCUCGUCAGCAUGGAUGAUUAGUAGACAGACAUUUUUUUAAAAAAAUAGUGCACCGAUAAGUAUUUUAUGAACAUAAACUGCAUUCAGCCAAUUGUACAGGAGCAUUUAUAUAUUGGAUGAACCGUUAAAAGCCAACAUUGACCAGUGACCAUAAGCAUAUCGGGAUCCAAAAGCAACAGAAACCUACUUAUAGAGCUAACUCCUUGGGGGCUCCUUAUCAAAAACUCCUUGGGUGCAUGCAGUAGAUAACUAUGGGUCUUCAGCAUCUUAGCUAGGGGACAAGAUGGUACAAAAGAUGAAACGAAGGUUCAGCAGCGGCUGGUAAGUGGCCGAUUUCUUGUCAAAAUUACUGAAGCAUGAAGUACACCAAGUAUCAGACUUUGGAUUUGCCUUUUCCUUUUGCGGUGUGAGUGAAACGAGUCUUCUUCGCUUUCUUGUUCUUUCUGCCAGAAUCGCCAUCUGAGUCGUCAUCACUACUAUUGUCAGACUUGUCAUUUGAUUUCUUCCGGAACCCGAUCCAUAUACAUAUUCCUUGGCCUUCUGUUUGGUCCUUUCUUCUGUAAAUUCAUCUUCAAUCUUUGGUUUCCAUAUGAAAAUGGACCUGCAAGGACCAUCUUGUGAGUUGUGGGAGGGGAAAAAAAGAUCUAGCACUGGAUAGUGAUAUUGGGCACUAAUACAUCGAUAGGCCUACCUUGAGCUUCCUGUUGCCAGGAUGUCAUCUUGCGGGUGUAGCUUGUUCACUGGGCUGAUUGUUGUUAUGUCAGGAUCCAUCACCUCUGAAGUGUAUGUCAGUGAGGAAUUGCUAGGCUACAGUAGCAUCUUAAACCUCUUGGUCCAGGUGUUGCAAUACCAAGACAGGUUCUUUUGGCACUUUCAGAAUGAUUUGGUUCUGAUCCCAGCCAGCUCUUUCCAUUUGCUCGAGGAAGUCAGUAAAUCCAUGCUCCAAUGCUAGAAUGCUAUCCUCUAGCCAAGAGAAAAUCUCAUCCUGGUUUUUUCCCAUUUUUUUGAAGCCAAUGUGCCUGCCAGAGGCUUCUCAGGACAGACAUGCUGUUUGCCGCCUCCUGAAAAUAAGUGAAGCAGAUACAUGAUAUGCAUUUGUUGAUCUGAUGGACAGCUAUUUAUAUGGCAUUUUCAGCAGUAAAUCACUUGAAUGCAACAAGAAAUGUUGGCUCUCUUGAUCCAAACUGCUCAACAAAGAGAACAUACUUCUCAUUCUUGUACAACUUCAAUGGUCUAUUCACCUGGCAGCCAAAAGCUCCGCCUCGAAAUCCGAUGCCCGCACCUCAGCUCCCCACAAGCGCGUCAGAUCUCCAUCCAAAUUUCCUCAAACCGAUUGAUCGCCGCAGCAUCGACCACGAAAUCCUACCUGUAUUGCCCCACCGACCCAAGACGCGAGCCACCCGCCGGCCCGCGCGCACGGAACCUCAGGACCGCGGGAAGGGAGGAGGGGCAGACCUGCGCAGCGCUGGUGGAUGGGCGCGACUGGCCUGCGGACGCUGAGGCCAACGCAGAAGAGGCCACCACCGCCCGGCCGACCUCGCCGCUGAGGCCGCGCGGGGCGCCCUGCUCCGGCCGCCGCUCGUGUUUCCAAGGAAGGAGAAGCUUUUUCCCUUUAACCCCCUCUCUUCCCUCCCUUUUCCACCCGAGGCCUUCCUCUCUUCAGAAUUUGGACUGCGGGUUGAUUUCAUGAAAUGUCAGGGCUUUUUUUGCAAAAUUAGGGCGACGUACGAAAAUCCUGGCAGAGACGUUGCUUGCUUUAAUAAUAGGUAUAGAUAGAUAUGUUAUGCCCAUAUUCUUGGGGAUACCUUUAGGUUGCCAGGAGACCAGCUGACGCGUCAGAUAGUACUUCUCGUCGAGAAUCUGCUAGCGAACUUGAUAGCUCAAGUCAUCAUCAAGCCUACCGUCGCGUUCAAAGAAGGCGUGACGUUUUUAUUUAGCUCCUGGGUUUGCGUCGCAGACGACGCCGGAAAUUUCCACUGCCACAUUGCGCCAGUCCAGAGAAGAAGCUCCCGAUUCACUCGAUGGAGAAGUUUUAGAUGUGACAUUACAUAUUUUAAUAAGAAUUAAUUAUUGUCGCAAGCAUACGACUCAUAAUGAAAUAAAGAAAUAGGAGCUGUUCAAUUUUUCCAAAGAACAGAAAGAGUAAGAACUUAUUAUUAAAUAUAUAGAACAUAGAUGGAACACAAAAUACAAAUCAGCUCAUCUGAUUUUAGGUAGAUAUUAUUUCAUAUAUUUUGAGAGUAGGGUACAGAGCGAGAGAGUGCCACUAGUUUACAAUGUUGCGAAAGUACUUACUCCAUAAUAGGAUAGAGUUUAUAGAUGUCCAUACAGCCCGCAGCCCGUUAGCCCGGCACGGAGUCCGUUUUUUUGGCCCGAAUGUAGCCCGGCCUGGCAUGAAGUUUUUCGGACCCAUGCUGGCCCGGCUCGGUAACUCGUGCCGGGCAUGGGCCACCAUCCUGGCACGACGGGUGGCCCAGCCCAGCACGAGUUUUAGAGGCCAGCCCGAGCCGGCCCGUUAACUCCUUCAAAGGCUUUAUCUCCAACUCCAACCAGUCAGCUCCUCUCCGUUCCAGCCUUAUCCAAUCCUCUCCGUUCGUCUCCUCGCCUCCCCAGGCUCCCAUUGACCCCUCCGGCCUCCGGCGACCACCUCCCUUCCGGCCUCCGACGACCGUCUCCCCCGCCUCCCCUCCAAGCUCCAGGAUAUGCCUCCCCAGCUCCCCUGCAGCCUUCCUCUGGGCUCCGGCGAUGUGCCAUGGCGAGGGGGUGAGCGGGCGGCGCUGGCGCGCAGGGAUGGGGCCACCGCUCCAGUCUCCACCUCUCCUCCCCUACGCCGCCGCCACCACUCCGCCUGACCUACCCUUCGCCGCCGGCUCCGCUUCCCUCCGGCCAAAAGGUGAGCCACCUCCCUCUGCCCCUCCCGGUGGCUGGCGCGGCGGCACCCUUGCUUAUGCGGCUGCGACGGCGAGCAAGCAAGUAGUGGCGACGGUGGCGGCGCGCAGGAGCAAGCAAGAGGCAACGUGCAGGGGGCAGCUCGUUGAGCAGGAGGCGACGGCGGUCACAGUGGUGCACAGUCAGCAAGCUGUGAGGGCCCACCGUGCCUCGGGGGGGGGGCGAAGGCAGCCAUGCUUUACAGGCCAGCCCGGCACGAAAAAGGCACUGCGAGCCCAUGCUUGGGCCGUCGGUGCAGCCCGUGGGCUGGCACGGCAUGGCACGAAAACUAACGGGCCUUGCUGGGCCCGUGCCGUAUCGGGCCGGGUGGCCCGGAUGGACAACUUUGAUAGAGUUAGCUGCCUCAACUCACGCAGCCGAUGCUUCCAUAAUGCCAAAUCAGCAGCCACAACAAGGAAGAUGUGGUUCUCAUAGGCACGAUAGAGUUGUUAAAAGACUAGUCAUCUCGGCCCUUCCAGUUGUGUUCCACAGCAAGGUGGGGAUGAUUGGCGAGCAGACGCGGCGGUCCUCCACUUGUAAAAGGCCAUGUAACCCCAGUGGACGCGCAACAAGUCAAGGUACGGCACAACACAGGGCCACCCAUUGGUCCAGAGGCACCUGACGCGCGGGCAUCGUAGCAGAAGAUGGUCUUGGUCUUCAUGCACACAUCAUAGUAUGCACAUCGAAGCAAGAUGGAUUUUAGUUAGCCUGGAUAUGGAUUACGAGUACCAAAAGGCAUAGUCAAAGGAAAGGACAGGGAACAUGUGGCUGUGGUGUCGCUUUUGCCCAAGGGAGGAAAGAGGCAUCACUACACGGGCUGCCGAGCGCCGAGCAUGGCGUUGAAGAAAGUCGCGACCAGGAACUUAAUGACCGAAUUGGUGGCUGACUUUUUCGGUGCGGCUAUUUCAGUUUUCGUCAGGGUAAUUCGGUUCGGUUUUCGAUCAUCGGUUAAUUAUGCUCACCCCAUCGGUUUCUGUCAGGUUAGAUGAAUGGAACAACUUCUUUGAUGGGCUGAAUACUUGCUUUGGGCUUGCAGACUGAAUUGGCACAGCCUGUUUUGUUGGGUCGGCCAUUUAAUUCGGCCGAAACUGAGAUAAAUUAUAUUGGUACGAAGGCAAAUAGUAUGUAGGUUCUUAUAAUUUUUAAGAAGAAUGAGGUCAUACCGGUAAAGCUUUUGAAAUGUAGAUCUAAUUAUGAUGAGUACAAAGGGCUCAUUAGCAGUACAUACACCAAAUACAUUUGCCAACUAGGUGGGCCAUACUAGAUGGCCAGGCCCAUCAGAUGAUUACUUGAUUUACUCAUAUAGUAAACGAUUACCGAACAUGAGAUCUUCUAUGCUUAUAUGCUAGGAAUUUGUUUCAACGAUGUCGUACUUAAACCAUUAGAGUUUUCGUGUAACCUGGAAAUUUUGGAUCUUGUGUGACGCAUGCACAGAGGUGUUGUACUGUUGCGUAAAAUGUAGCCUUGGCAUAACCAUUCGAAUGGAUUCUGCAUCGUACAUAAACCAUCAGUGUUUUCAUGUAAACCAAGAAUUUUGGAUUGUCUGUGCCGCAUGCACAGAGGUGUUGCUUGGCGUAACCAUUCGAAUUGAUUCUUUAUGAAGAUAACAUGGAAUGUAACUACGAGACCUGACGACGUAACCCGUGCGAAUGAGAGUAAAAACAACAGCCUCCGGCGGUGGCACCCCACCACCAACCUAUCGGACAUUGACCGAUCGACGGUGGAGUUUCCUUGGCCCAACAAUUUUAGCAGAGUCCCGCCGAUUCUUGGAUGACAUCCGGGAUCAAUUAUCCUGGAUUGGCCGUGAUUAGUACAAAGUUCCGCCGGUGACCAUGCAGAUGCACUCAUUGGUGACAUCAAUGAAGGAUAGGGGAUACUAAGAGACCGCGGCUGUACAAUGAUGUUGCUACCCUCGUUGGUUUCUCCAUUCCUUUACGCGACACUGAAAAGAUGGUGCCACGUGUCACAACAGGAUACGCUUAGCCAACCUUUACGGGACUUUAUGCGAACCGCACUGAAGAAAGCCUCCACUUCUAUGGACUAGCUUGCCAAAUCCAUUGUAGUUGAUUAUUAAAAGAAAUUUAGAUUUUUGCCACCGCAAACGACGGGCUUCGCAAAAUCACCAAUGCACACAUAGGUUUCGCAUAAUCACCACUUAAAAUAUCGACGCUUUGUUUUGUUUGCCAUUUUCUCCCAUUUAUUGAUUUUGCAUUUUUCAGGGCAGUGAAUGGACCAGAUUGCCCCUAAGCCCUUUGACUUAUCUGGCUGGACUACCAGAUUGCAUAUGCUGCUUUGGAAUGUUUGAACUACCAUGGAGGCUCAGGUAUAGUGAAGGAACCUAAGAGAGUGCCCCUUAUGACUGGAUUUCAAUGGGUACAGAAAAAUCUUGAGAAUAGUAAUGAUUGCUAUGAUAUGUUUAUGUUCCACCGACUGCAUGAUUCUUUUGUCAAUGAGUAUGGCUUGCAAGCAAGUAGAGGAAUUUGUACCAUGGAUGCAUUAGGAAUAUUUUUAUGGGCAUGUGGUGCACCACGAUCUUUUAUGCAAGUCAAAAAUAAGUUUGGACACUCACUAGAGACUAUCAGUAGGAAGUUUGGAGAGGUACUGGAUAGUAUCAAUAGCAUGGCUGGUGACAUUAUAAAACCAAAAGAUCCUCACUUUACAACAACUCAUUCUAGGAUUUGGGAUAACUCAAGGUUUUAGCUCCAUUUUAAGGAUUGUAUUAGUGCAAUUGAUGGAACACACAUACCUGUUAUGAUCCCAUUGAGUGAACAACCAUAAUACUUUGGUCAAUAUGGUUAUGCAUCACAAAAUGUAAUGGCGGUGUGCGAAUUUGAUAUAAGAUUCAUAUUUUUUGUCACCUAUUGGCCAGGUUCAGUUCAUGACACUCAUGUAUUGCUAGAUACUUUGGAAACAUACAAUCAAUAAUUUCCACACCUCCCAGAAGGGAAGUAUUAUCUUGUUGAUUCGAGAUAUCCUAAGAAAGAUGGGUAUCUAGCCCCUUACAAGGGUCUAAGGUACCAUGUAUCUGAAUGGCAACAUGGGAGACAACUAGUGGACUUCAAAGAGGUGUUUAACCAUGCACAUUCGUCCCUUCGAAAUGUGAUCGAGCGUUGUUUUGGUGUUCUAAAGAUGAAGUGGCGCAUUCUUUUGAGCUUGCUUGCCUAUCCCAUCAACAAGCAAGCUAAAAUCAUAUCUGCAGUUAUGGCUCUUCACAAUUUCAUAAGGGAUAGUGCUAUACAUGAUGCUGAUUUUGAAAACUAUGUUCAUGAUAAUGAUAGUCAAGAUGGCGCAAGUAUUGCUCAUGAUGGGAGUGCUUCAGCAGAUGACACUGAUAUGGGUGCUUUGCAGGAUUCCAUUGCUCCGGCUUUAGUAGCACGAUUGCUCAUAUAGUUGCUUUUGUUAUUUUGGACGUACGAGGAGAGAUUGUAAUAGGCUCUAGUAAUGACAAUUGAUGCCUUAAUUAAAAAUUAAUGAACCUAUAAUAUCAAAAAUUAAUGCUUUUAGCAAUUAAACAAGGUAUUAUCACCCUCAGUGGCAUACAUGCCAUUACACACUCAGCACAAAUAAUCUCCUAACAGAAAAUCAGGUUGCCAAAUACUCUGCUUUUCUACCAGCAGAUUAUGUGGAUAGCAGCUUUUGAGGGUAGCUAGAUUUCCAAAGAAUUGUUAUUCAGAAAAGCUGAAACAAAUAGGCCCGAAUCAAUUGGAUAAAAUCGAUGUGGUAUCUGUCGCCACUGGCGGGUAGUUCGCCGGCGCCCGCCCACCUAUCGCUGACUGCCGUCCACUCGCCUGUCCGUCUUCCUAUGCACCGGCUGACGGCCACCGUCCGCCUACUGGCCGCUUGCUCGCUGGCCGCCGCUGCUGUUGUAGGCAAGGAGCGCGGCGCAGAUGCACAUGGAUGGCGCGAGGGAGCACCAUGUUGUCUGGGUGCGCGAUGGUGCCCGGCAACUAGUGCCUGCUUCGGCAGCCUGAAGCCCAGGUACAGGGCAUGAAGGAAGUUGUUCUGAAGGGAUAGCUUUGCAGAGGAAAUUGAAGGCUGCGACCAGGAGCGGACCCAGCAACGUCGUGCGCCGUGACACAUGCUAAAUAACGUGGGCCAUGUAGCUUUGUGUCAAAUCCUAGGAUAGUGCAGGCUUCUUGGACCUUUAUUUUAAGCUCUUUUACGUUGCACAACGGUAGUAUAGAGUAUAAUUUAUUUUUUUAUGGGUAAAAUUGGAAUUAGCACGUCAUAGGAAUUUUUUUUGGCGACUCUGUUCUCCCCGCACCGCCGCCAUCUCCCCACGCGUCGCCAAUUUUUUCGCGAAUCUGUUUCCCCGCGCGCCGCCAGUCCACGCGCAGUCCCCCGCCCGCACGCCGCCCCUUCACCGCCGGCACGCCGCCCAGUCGGUCGCGUCCCCACGUGCCGCCAGUCCACCCGCCGCCAUGUCCCCACGCGCCACCAGUCCCCCGCCCGCACGCCGCGCCUCCAGACGGCCAGCUGCAAGAAGCUCACACCAAGAACCCUUCUCCUGAUCUCCUCCCCAUCCUCCUCGUCGCACCGUCGCCAUUGUUGCUUCCUCGCUGCAACGCGGCGUCGAUCACGAAGAUGCUUCUGCUGAGGGCGCCGACGCGAACGGCGUACGCGAAGGUGGACGCGGAGGAGGCGCGGCAGCUCAGGGCGCAAUACCUGAUCCAGAAGGUGCUGGAGGAGAAGAGCCCGGCGGCGCGGUCCCGGCCGCCGGCGCUGGUGCGGGUGAAGGCGAGGAUCGGCGUGCGGCUGAAGAAGCUCAGGCUCGCCAUCCGGAGCGUCAGGGUGCGGGCGUGCCGGACCCUGCAGAGGCACCUCAGGAACCUGAGGAAGCUCAUCGCGCUCGGAGGUCAGCAGGGAUCAGGGGGAGGCUUCUUGAUGAUGCCUCGCUUUCUGAAAGAAAGAAAGUCCCAUGUUUUUUUUUGUUUUUUUUUCGUGUUCUUGUGUGGAUCAAAGCAAUGGCUGAUAACAUCUGAGCUUUUGCUGAGAGGUUUGGGAUCACAAUCUGUAUCUGUUUAAUUAGGUGGUGGAAGGGAUCAUAUACAUACAAAAAAAUGUGUAAUAGUAGUAGGAAUCAAGCAAUGCCACUGUUCAAGUUUUGCAUUUUUAUGCCUUGCGGUGUUCUGGAAUCCUGCUCUGCCAGUUCAGCAGAAGUCAGCGAUUUCUUAUUUCUCCACCUUUAUAAUAUAGUUUUUGCUAGUUUCUGGUACAUUGUAUCAUGGUCUGAUCAAUCUUUUUCAAUAAUCCAGCAAUCUCUGUAUCCAAGCAUCCUCCUUUUCUGGAUCUGCUUUUUUUUUGUGUGUUUUUGUGUGUAAGUGAACUCUGCAGUAUGGUUUGCUAUCCACGCUGAUCUGGAGCAGGAUUGACAUGAUCGAUAAAAAAAAGCUCUCACCUUACCUACUCUUCUUCUAUGCAACUCCAAAUCUUCAGUUAUUUACUUGGCUGGUCUGGGGUGGCCAGCGGCAGCGGCAGCAGGAGUACUAGCGAUCAGAUAGUUCUCUAGUGCACGAUAGUCACUUAGGUUGAAUCAUUUUCUGUAUAGUUGCCGAGUGAGUCGUUGAACAGUGUGCGUACGCCCUGGAUGACUCGCGUUGUAAAUCAAAUGAUCUAAUUUUUUCUUAAUACAAAGAUAAGCAGCUCUACUGCGUGUUCUCGAAAAAAAAUUAUUUACUUGCGGAUAAAUUCACUUCUGCAAUAAAUAAAUUUGUGCUAUGCUCAUGCAUUGUGUUUUUUUUCCUUCAUCUUCUGGAAGUUGUUCAACAACAGAAGCGGCAAAGUCACGCUUGUUUUAACAAAUACCCACUACCCAGUGGAUUGGAGCAUGUGUCCUGUUGAGAGCAAAAGAAAGAGUGUGAUCGGUUGUUUAUGGUAGAGAAGAAAAGUAUAUUCCUUGUCUAACUCAUCCUGCCUUUGACUUCCAGUUUUCCGUAUUACUGAUGACAGCAAUUGUACACAAUCGAAGUAUAAGACAUUAAGACUACAAUCGUAUGCGGCUAGGAUGACUCCAGUAGUGUCCAGCAGAACAAAUGGUGGUUAUUGCACUCAAAUCAAAAGUCUGAACGAACAAUAUACACAGAUGUAUUUCAUCCAGACAGACUUCUAUUUGCGUCAUUGCGUGGCUUUAAAAACAAGAGCUUCUAGUUCUUGACCCAGUUCUGUCUCUGACCCUUGUCGAAGGCUGAGAUAGCAAGAUGCUCUGCAGCGUGGGUCAUAAAAGAUGCCAGCACAACACCACCAGCAACCAUUAGUCCUAACCUGUCAAAGCAAAAAAGAAAACGUUCAUGAACUCAAAUCACUUAUUGGCAAGAAAGAUCAAACAGCUUUCAAUACAUGAUCCUCAGACUUAACCCAGAACACUUUUGACAUAAUCAGAAGCUUUGUGUGCAUGAUAUAUUGUACUUAUGUUAUAUGAUCUGCAUAAGCUAGUAACAGUAUUUGACAUAAGCUAGUAACCCCUUACGAGUUACGAAUGGAAGAGGCACACUGACCUUCUAAUAAUCAACUAGUCAAUUUGUAAAGCUUACACUAUCAGUUAUGUUCCCAGGUACAGCCCAGGGCCACAGCCCCCGCACCAGCACCCUACCAUCACCUCAAUGCAGCCCCCAAUCCCAAGUUCUGAAACCCUUCUCUUCCAUAGCCCAUGAUAACACUAGAACAUGGGACAAAUCUCUAUAUGCUCAAGACAAAUUUCCACACAACUUUCCUUUAUAUUAUUAAAGAGGGGUAUAGAAAGAAGCCAAUCACGUGUCUUUGUGAAUAAUGCAGUUAUACCCAAGAUAGUUGAUAGCAAUACAGCAACAGUAGCUAUAGCCGCCAUUCCUAUCCAGUAAAAUGUUGCAUCCAUAUCACAGUCGGACAUAUUCCGUUGAUGGGGAAAAAAUUGUUUAAAACAAAGGAUAACGAAACUAUGCAAGAGGUUGCAUAGUUCAACAUACCUGAACCCAUAUGAUUCUCUGAAGAAUUAGAAUUGCUAAAUCCCACAUGAUUUGCGACCCGUCAAGAUCUUUGAUUGAUGCUCAGCAUCUGAACAGAAGACAGGAAAAGACAAAUAGUCGGUAACACAUCAUACAACCAUUGGACUAAACUUCCAGGUUCAAGUUAGAAUCUUUGUAUGUGCUUUUACUACCUUCAAUCAGUUCGAUUUCAAUUAGAACUCACUGCUACAUAGUUUGCUAGCUAGAGAGCACAUAAUACAUUUAUCUUGCCCAUAUUCUAGUAGAGAUGAAAGAAAGGUGUGCAAAUUUAAACAGGAAAUGAAAACAAAACCUAAAGAUUUGUAUCAGUGAUAGUAGCAUGGAAUCAAAUCAACACAUAGGACAGGGUUUUUAGUCUACAAAUCAUAGACCACAGAUGCCAAGCAUGGAUUACCUCCCCAUCCAAGCUACCAUCCCGUGUUUACUUCAUUAUCUAUGAUGAUCGAGUAUUCCAAACCAAUCAAGUUUUUUUCAUUUCUAUGUUGGAGACCACUAGUUUAAGAUGUUAAUAAGGAACUCAUUGGCCAAUAUCAUAUUCGUCAAGGAUAGUUUAAACUUUUGGUUUUCCCCUUGAAUAACGUAUUUCGAUGUCCCAUAACCAGUUGUCUUCAACCAUACCACAGAGUUUAUUUAAUCUUUACAACCUUAUCAAACUUGAUAUCUCAAACAAUCACUUGAUCGGUACUCUCAAAGCUGAUAUAGGAAGCUCGAACACAAUAAACAAGAUAGAUCUCUCUACCAACCAGCUACUCGUGACCUUCCAGAUUCAUUCAGACAACUACAAAUGCUGACCUACCUCAAUUUAUCACACAACUCGUUUCAAGAUUCGAUUCCAAAUUCUUAUGGCAAGUUAGCCAUGGAAACAUUGGAUCUCUCCUACAAUAACCUCUCUGGCAACAUCCCAAUCUACCUGGCCAAUUUUACAUACCUCACGAAUUUGAAUCCGUGGUGGAACAGCCGGUCGCCGACGGCGAACCCGACGAAGGACGUGUCACGGGUGGCGCACACAGUGCGCGCCGGUGGCCUCCUCGGGCCGGGCCGCGCGCUUCGCCGCGGCGCCGCCCGACCUCCGGGCGCUGAAGCCAGCGCCGCCGUGGAGCAGCAGUGCGGCGCAUAUCUCCUAAACCGCGGAGUUGCCGCCGCCCGCCGCCAUCCCAUUUCAACCGUACAUACCAUGGAGCAGCAGCGCGGCACGCAUCUCCUAAGCCGCGGAGUCGCCGCCGCCCGCCUCGUAGUCAUUGCCGACCGCCGGAGUCUCCGCCGCCCGCCGCCGCCCCAUUGCAACCCUAGAGGAGCCCCAGUCGCAACCUGGACCGAUUGGAACUGAGGAGCCCAGUCACCGAUUGGAAAUGAGGAGGAAUAAAAAGAAAUAAGAUUAUAAUUAAGAAAGAUUUGAUUUGAUCUAUUUCAACAAUACUAUUUUACAUCUUUCCAAUAAUACCCCUAUAUAUACUACCUAUACUACUCAUGCAUAGUACCUAUACUACAACUUAAGGCUUUAGUAGUAUACAAUUAAUCUAUUAAUCUCAACCGUCGGAUCCUUGCAUACGAGUCCUUUUCGAACAGUAGUAUAGGGUAGUAUUAUGCAUCGUAAAAGACCUCUUAUUUUCUCUUUAGCUACAUUGUACUGGACCCGGGCUGCAGCCCCCAGCCUAGGUCCUACAUCCGCCACUGGCCGUAACGUAUCUACAUUGAUGUAUUAGCUUUGCAAAGGAAAUUGAAGAUCUGCAUGUGCUCGUGGAGGCGCUGAAGACCUGCUGCUGUACGGUUGUCUUUUUCAGGAUUGAAUGUAGUUUGCAGGAAUUAUGCAGGAGCAGGAGCAAAGUGAUUAUUAUCGAAGUUGUAGUUUUCAGGAUUGGAUAAAUGCAGUUGAUUCCUGCUGAGUGCUUGUAAGUUAAUAGAAUUGCACAUGCCAAUGGAUGCUUCUUGGCUGUGAUCGGGCAAGCCAUCCUGGCGGUGAUCGCGGGAAGCGUCUUGGUGGUGAUCAGGGGAGCCGUCCUGGCCGGCGGCGCGCGUUCUCUAAUGGAGAACCACUCAAUUGGAGCGAUCCAAACCGAAACCAAUCAGGUACGUACCUACACAUGAAAAGGGCACUUUUUUCAUGUCUUGUGCUCGUAAAUGAUAAAAAGAAAUUAAAAAUCAAUGAGAGUGAGAAAAUGGCAAGCAAAACAAGGUGCCAAACGUUUUAAGGGGUGAUUCUGCGAAAUUCAUGUUUGCAGUGGUAAUUUUGCUAAACCUGUUCUCCGAUUAUCAAUCCAUUACCCCCUCCCUGCCCGGUAUCGCAUCAGGAUACCGCCCUCCUCUUUCCCGUCGCUCAACCUCGUCUCCAGCGCGGAGUGCGCCGCCGCUCGCCGUGCCUCUAUCUCCAGCGCGGAGUGCGCCGCCGCUCGCCGUGCCUAUAUCUCCACGCGAGCACUUCAGCGGUGGCGUCGGCUGCAUCACAUAUCGUCGCCGGUACGGAGUCAUGGAUCUCUCUCCCAUCAUUCUCUCGAACCCUCUUCUCCUGUCUAAUUAUAUUAUAAACCUGGGAGGUGAGAAAUAAAAGUGAGGAAAACCUCAACUGUCACACAACAUACGCAUGUACUUAUAUUAUAAACCGUUCGUGGGUCCUAGGGUUUCAGUUUUGCUCAGCACAAAACUUUGCUUAAGCGAUCUGAUUUCCAAUUUAGCAAAUAUGUACAGCUAAAUUUGAAUUUCUUUCAGAGAUCACAAUAGAGCUUGGGCAUGUGUCUGUACAUGCUCUAUUCAGAGACUUGAACAGCUAGAUGUAAAAUCGAGUUGUUAGAUCAGUAUCUAUUGCAUUAAUUUAAUCUUCACAACCUCACAGGAUUAGUAUAAAUUACUUUAGAACCUUACCUGACCACACCACUAGUAGCAUUGAGUUGGUUUUGGCAACCACUAGGAUCUGGGCACUACACUUGCAAUAGUCUCAGGUCAACUGAGGCAGCAAUUGGAUCUGUUUACUUGCAUUUCCGUUACGAAGCAUAAUUUACUUGGAUCCAUUGUACAGCAUUAUGCAUUUUUCUCAUGACUCAACAUACAUAAUUUCUCUACUGGUCUCAAAGUGCUUCCAAUAUAAUCGUGUACUAGUAUAUCUAAUCCUGUAACUUUUAUUGCUUUUAAUUUCAAAGGUUAAAUAUGCCAAAUCUGUUUGUUUACAUUUUUCCUGCCAUGAUUCACAAGAAUUGCAAGCUAACUUUGCAGUAAUACCAUAUCAACAUAUCCUAGUAUAACUAGCUCUCUGUUUGCAGUUUUAGGCUGUUGUUCUUGAGCACAAAUAUUAUGUUGAUUAUUGAUAAUUUAAUUAGCUCGUACCUUAGCUCUGAUUGGCCUGGCUGAACAUGUUUGCUGAAUCAACAUACCAUUCUUUAUAGGAAAAUAUGACAAGCUCAUAUCUUAACUCGUCUUUUCGUUCGGAACUGAAAAUUUUUCAGGUUUCUCUUGAACUCUUUGAAAUAUUUCGCCUUUUAUAGUCGUUGAUCUGCGUGCUGUGGUUGGAUUGUGGGUUUAUUAUUUCUUCAGGACGCCGCCAACGCCAAAUUUGGAAAAUCGACAUUAGCUUAGGACUUAUUUCUUGAAUGGUCAGUUCAUCAGAUUGCUUCUCUUGCUGUUUGAAUCUGUUAAAAAAAUGAGGCCUUCUUAGUUCGAGUAUGAUGGCUUCAUUGACCUUGUAUUUGGCUUUUCAAGGUUGAUUAGCUUAUUAGGGCUGGUUGGUACCUAUAUCGCAUCUUACUGAGUAGCUUCCCAUCGAUUUCACUUACCUGGUAGGCGGCCUAGUUAUCACUUUGCUUAUACUUCUCAGUGUUGGGUUGAACAUGGUUGUGAACUGCAUUUUUCUACUGGUCGAUAUUAUUUGAGAAGUGAGAAACUAACAACCAGUGAAUUAAUGCCUUUUGUUUGCUUUAUUGAAGUUGAUUUUGAGGCUUACAGUAAACAUUUGUUGGAUAGAGAACCAGCAGCAUUGGCUAUAAUUUUAAAGUGGCCCUUUCAUUAUCUGUUCAGCCAUGGAUUUGCAUCGAUGCUUUGCUUGUUGUAACCUAGAGUUGACCUUUAGUUCUUUAUCAGUGCUGGAAAGAUGUCAGCAAGUAAGGGGAAGAGAGGUGCUUUCUCAAAAAAGAAAAAAAGAACUCGCAGUGAUGGAGAGUCAUCGAUCUCAGGUCUGCUGGCUCUUCCUUUUUCACUACAUUUUUUUUGCAGCUCUAUUUGAUCACUCACAUCUCUGUUGUACCGUGUUUCUUUGACUGACUUACUUGGGAACAAUCAAGAUAUUUGGAGUGAGCUGCGUGAAGACGUUGCAUCAUAUCUUCGUAGAAGUGUUGUCUCACUUGUUUUGAACAGUAAUUAUCCUGGUGAUUAUGCUGCUGUAUCCUUACUUUUCGAAAUAUAUGUUUAAACAUUGUUAGUUAUGAAUGAUGUAAAUUAAGAUCUUCUGUAGCACGCAGAUUUCCGUUUACAUGCUCUGGUAUUGCCAUAGAAUGCCAAAACAAUGUCACAAAGUUUGUGACAACUGGAAUGUUGGUUAGUGCUCUUCAGACUGGCAAGUAUAAAGAAGAGGUUGGUGCUGCUAAUCAUUAAUUUUUGAUUGUGUACUUAAGAUAACUAUGGUCAUUCCUUAAUAUUUCCUAUGCUUUAUGUUAUAGAUCAAAGUGCACUAUGAAGGAAAUGUUGCCACAGGCUAUCUGGACGAAUAUGAUUCUGAUUGUCAGCUUGCUGUUGUCAAAGUCUUGUCCCCCCUUGAUGUUUAUUGCAUACAUCUUAAUCCUGGGAUGGAAAUUGUGCCCUGUAAGCAGCUAAUAGCUGUAGGGCGUGUCUUUGACAGAUUCAUAGCAACAAGUGGGGAAAUUUCACGUCGAUCUAAAGAUAGAGAAUUUCUUAUAUUCUCUCGUUUCCCUGAGGUACAGUUGCAUUCAUAUGGGUUAAUCUUUGGUUAGAAAUGCUACAUCCAUCUCAUAUUCUAUAGAAAAUGGUGUUACUCUUGGUUUACUUCUAUUUAACACCAUUGACUAUAGUUUGGCUUCUAAGUUCUUUUAAACUGUACAAUAAAGUUGAAUGGGUUCUGUAUUGGUUAGAUUUGCACUGGAACAUACUUUAAAGAUAUUAUACAUUUCUAAGCAUUUACAAGUAAUUGGGGAUAAAGUGGGGAGUAACUCUUAUUUCAGAUCAUUUUAUUUUGUUCCAGUGAAACCCAUGUUACUUUCUUUUUCUAGAAUUGGUCAGGGGCGGCAUUUUUUGAUAUAGAUGGAAAUUUUGUUGGCAUGAACCACUACUAUUUAUUGCCAAGGAGAAUAUUUCUCGAACGGUCAACAUCAAGGGGGGUAUUUCGCUAUGUUGGCAUGAACGGUUGGUAUGAGACUAAAAGGUAAGCUGUUUUGUUAGCUUUACUCCUUUUUGUAGUUUCUUUGUGCAUUUGUUGCAGUUCCUAAUGUUGAUCCCUAAUAACAACAAAAUUCUUUGGUACCUCUACCUAAAGAUAACUGCCAAUGGACCAGUUGUGCUAUUGGUAUUUGUCACAGUUUGCAUUUUUUUUAGAGUAGCUAUAUUCCUGUCAUCCUAUGUCACUAUUGAAGCUUAUGUCUUAUUCAAAAUAUGUGAGUUUUUUUGUUCAGACUAUACACUAAAAGUUUUUGAAGUGUCCAUCGUACCUCAUCUCUAUUAUCUUUUCCUUUCCUACAACUCUGCCACCAUGGUGGCAUUGUAUUGUGCUUGGUUGAUACUUAGUGUUGGUGCUAGUGCUCAUGUUGAUGUUCUUCUGCAGGGGGGAACUUUACUUCCAUCCUAAAGGUGAGCACGACCAAUCAAAUGUCUUUAUUGUGCAAUCCAUCACCAUUAGUAGUGCAAAGUAGCUUAUGUACUUCCAUGAUAACCAUUAACUAGUUUAACCUUUUCUUUAUUAAGUUGUGAUUUUCUGUUAGCGUACGCUAAUCAGUCAACAUUUUUACCGUGCUAGCAUGGUGCCCUUGCGUUGUGAUGUAUCUCAAUUGAUAUUCCACAGAUUCUAAUUUUGAAAAGUAACAUUACUCUGCCUUAAAAUUUUUAUCAUCAAUUGGCUCGUACGUAUACACAUACAUAAUUGCAUAUAGGGCAAUAGGGUGCUAUUAAAUAUUGCAUUCACAUGUCUACAUAAAUCCAUUUACAGAAGAUCUAGAUUGUGCAUAGAGCACACCAUGACCAUCAUUGAUUCCUUGAGAUGAGAUGAGGUGCUUAUGGGUAUAUUUGAUUGUUGCAAAUUUUACUUAGAAUUAGUAUGUGCUACCUCUAAUCACUUGACCAUGUUGUACCAGCAUAUGACGUUGUUGACAAGGAAAAAUUUCAGGAUCUGAAUUCUUUGGGUUAUCCUAUUCCAUCAAGGACUAUGGUCAAUCGUGAGUGGCUUGUACAUUUUCUUAGUUAUCCUGCAUUGAGCCUUUGUACAGCCCUGUUGUACCACUAGUAUUAUACUAUGCAUCAUUUUUCAGGUGGCAUGAUUUUGGUUAAUACUUGUGAAGAUCCUUUUGGUGAUUUAUAUCCUAAAGGUGUUUGGGGUGAAUUCAAGAAAAGAGUUUCUUCUGAGAUAUCUCGAAAUGUUGUGGCACUUGCUUGUUUCAAAGGUGAUUUUGCAGUAAUGUGCUAUUUACUAUUUCAUAUUUGUGUUUGGUCAUCAUUUGCUGAUGAUCAGAAUCGUGGUGUCCAGGAGAAACAAGGUUUUUUGCAUGCACUGGAGUUUUUAUUGACUAUGAUGAUGAGUAUCCGAAAAUUCUUACUUCAGCAAGCUUGAUUAGAGAUCGUAAUGUUCCAAAUAAGAUCGUUGAGGACCUGAGGGUUAGUGCUCCUGACUAUAUUGUGAUCCUUGUUUCUAGAUACAACCUAAGUUUCAUUGUAUUGUUUGCAGAUUGAUGUGUGGCUCCCAAGCAAAAAGUGCAGAGUAAUAGGGACAUUGAAACAUUAUAGUUUACAUUACAAUGUUGCUGUAGUCAAUGUUGAUAAUCACCAUGCUCUUUGUCCUAUGAAUCUUGAGAAGUGUCCUGUGAAUCAUCAUGAUUCUAUGUUAUAUAAAUCUACGGUAGUAGCUGUUGGGCGGAUCUUCCAAUCAGGCACGUUAAUGGCUGCAAGUGGGAAACUAACUCUCGGGUCAAGCAGGCUUGAUUGCAAAGUUCUUUGGUACUCCACAUGUAAAAUCAGUAAGGUAGUGUUGAUCUUAUUUUUCCCACUUUAAACAUGUUGGGAAGUAAAUAUAAGUUUAACUAACCUAUCACAUCAUGUACUGAGAUUCUUUGCAUUACAACUGACAUCCCCUUUGUAACCUGGUUAGGUGGGGAUUGGAGGGCCCCUUGUUGAUGUUGAUGGUAAUUUUAUUGGCAUGAACUUUCAUCGAAUGUGCGGCAAUUGUCAGAAAAUAGGAACCCCGUACAUGUAUCGUGAAGAUCUCUGCAGAAUCCUGGAAUUUUUGAAGACAAAAAAGUAUGUAUAUAUUUGUUUUUUUAAGUAUGUCUAGAUUUCUUUUUUUAUUUUGGUUAUUGUGCCUGUUUGAACAAGUAUUCAGUUUAUUUUGCACUUAGCUGUAAGCUUUGGUUAACAUUUGAAUAAACUAGUUGAAGGAUGUUCUAUCAAGCAUAAUUAUUUUAUUAAAUCUAUUUUUCUGUGUAUUUCACAGAACUACGGAGUUUAGUUUCGGGGACACUGUCCGUGGAGAUGAGAAACCAAUAAAUGAGUAAGCUGAUACAUCUCAUUGCUAUUGAAGUUGCAUUAUAAAGUUGCUGAUCAUAGUACGUUUGGUUGUAAAAAACUGAAUAACAGGUGGCCAGUACCUGAUCCAUAUUGGUGUGAUCCAAGUGAUGUGGAGGAUGAUAUGAAUGACAAACAAGAAGUCGUAGCUGGUGGCUGCCCAGUAAGAUACAUCUUGGGAUCUAAAUGCGUGCUCAAGUAGUCUUUGCUCUACUUCACUGGAGCUUGUUCGAGUUGGCAUGUCUUAAGUACUUGUAUUAGUUUGAGCUUGUAUGCUAUGUAAGAUAUAAAUGGUUUAUUAUCUGUUUUUGAUGUACCUACAUUUAAUGUGUGGUUUUUAAGCUUGAGCUAAUACUAAUCUCUCCAUCUGGACCUGUUUACAUGCA
This 66941-nucleotide long non-coding RNA is filed under the name Setaria italica (foxtail millet). Its description in RNAcentral is "long non-coding RNA (SITA_LNC001097)". Lineage: Eukaryota; Viridiplantae; Streptophyta; Magnoliopsida; Poales; Poaceae. The record is from RNAcentral.